GUUUUUUGUUUUUGCUUAUGUUUAGGAAUAAAUAAUCCAUCUAACUUCUGUUUGGAUGUGGUUUUAUGUUUUAAUUAGUGUUUGUGCCAAGUAGGACCUAUAGGAUAACCUACGAUGAUAGUUGAUUUGAUUCUGCUGAAAAACAGAAACUUUGCGUGCACGAAUUUAGUUAUGAUAAAUCACAGGAACGUGCUUUUGCGUUGAUUCUUUUUGCUUCUGAUCAACAAACAAAUUGUCCAGGACUUCCUAUUUUGGUAGAAUUUUUAGAGUUCCAGAAGUUUGCGUUAGUUACAGAUUGCUACAGACUGUUCUGUUUUUGACAGAUUCUGUUUUUCGUGUGUUGUUUGCUUAUUUUGAUGAAUCUAUGGCUAGUAAAUUAGUUUAUAAACCAUAGAGAAGUUGGAAUACAGUAGGUUUAACACCAAUAUAAAUAAAUAAUGAGUUAAUUACAGUACCUUGAAGUAGUCUUUAGUUUUCUUUCUCUAACGGAGCUCACGAGAUUUCAGUUGAGUUUUGUGUUGUGAAGUUUUCAAGUUUUGGGUGAAUUCUUUUGAUGGAUUAUGGAACAAGGAGUGGCAAGAGCCUAAGCUUGGGGAUGCCAAUGGAACCCCCAAGAUAAUCCAAGGACACCAAAAAGUCAAAGGUUGGGGAUGCCCCGGAAGGCAUCCCCUCUUUCGUCCACUUCCAUCGGUAAUUUACUUGGAGCUAUAUUUUUAUUCACCAACAUGAUAUGUGUUUUGAUUGGAGCGUCUUGUAUUAUUUGUGUCUUUGCUUGUUAGUCUACCACAAUCAUCCUUGCUGUACACAUCUUUUGAGAGAGCCAUACAUGAAUUGGAAUCUGUUAGAAUACUCUAUGUGCUUCACUUAUAUCUUUUGAGCUUGAUAGUUUUGCUCAUAGUGCUUCACUUAUAUCUUUUGAGCGUGAUAAUUUUUGCUCUAGUGCUUCACUUAGAUCUUUUAGAGCACAGUGGUGGAUUUGUUUUAAAGAAACUAUUGAUCUCUCAUGCUUCACUUAGAUUAUUUUGGGAGUCUUUAAUAGCAUGGUAAUUUGCUUAGUGUUAAUAUACUUGGUGUUCAAGAUAUGUGAAACUUACUUUUGAGUGAAUUGAAUACUAAGAUAAGUUUGAUGCUUGAUAAUUGUUUUGAGAUAUGGAGGUAAUAGUAUCAAAGUCGUGCUAGUUGCGUGAUUAUGAAUUUGAUAAAUACUUGUGUUGAACUUUGCAAAUCCCGUAGCAUGCACGUAUGUAACAAAUUUGAAACAUGAAGUGUACCUGGCUUGUGCAUCCUUAUGAGUGGCGGUCGGGGACGAGCGAUGGUCUUUUCCUACCAAUCUAUCCCCCUAGGAGCAUGCACGUAGUACUUGAAUUUUUUAUGGCUUCUAAAUUUUUGCAAUAAGUAUAUGAGUUCUUUUGACUAAUGUUGAGUCCAUGGAUUAUACGCACUCUCACCUUUUCACCUUUGCUAGCCUCUUCGGUACCGUGCAUUGCCCUUUCUCACCUUGAGAGUUGGCGCAAACUUCGCCGGUGCAUCCAAACCCCGUGAUACGAUACGCUCUAUCACACAUAAACCUCCCUAUAUCUUCCUCAAAACAGCCACCAUACCUACGUAUCAUGGCAUUUCCAUAGCCAUUCCGAGAUAUAUUGCCAUGCAACUUCCACCAUCAUCAUCAUGACAUACAUUACUUUUGUCAUAUUGCCAUUGCAUGAUCUUGUAGUUGACAUCGUAUUUGUGGCAUAGCCACCAUGCAUUAUUUUCCAUACAUGUCACUCUUGAUUCAUUGCACCAUCCCGGUACACCGCCGGAGGCAUUCAUAUAGAGUCAUAUCUAGUUGUAAGUUUCGAGUUGUAAUCCUUGUGUUGUAAUCAAUAGAAGUGUGAUGAUCAUCAUUAUUAGAGCAUUGCCCAAAAAAAGAGAAAGGCCAAAAAGAAAAAAAAGAAAGGCCCAAAAAAAGGGCAAUGCUACUAUCUCUUUUUCCACACUUGUGCUUCAAAGUAGCACCUUGUUCUUCAUGUAGUGAGUCUCAUAUAUUGUGCUUCAAAGUAGCACCUUGUUCCUCAUGUCGUGAGUCUCAUAAGUUGUCUUUUUAUACUAGUGGGAAUUUUUCAUUAUAGAACUUGGCUUGUAUAUUCCUACGAUGGGCUUCCUCAAAUGCCCUAGGUCUUCGUGAGCAAGCAAGUUGGAUGCACACCCACUAGUUUUCUUUUGUUGAGCAUUCAUAGCUCUAGUGCAUCCGUUGCAUGGCAAUCCCUACUCCUCAUGUUGACAUCAAUUGAUGGGAAUCUCCAUAGCCCAUUGAUUAGCCUCGUCAACGUGAGACUUUAUCCUUUUUCGUCUUCUCCACACAAUUCCCAUCAUCAUAUUCUAUUCCACCCAUGGUGCUAUAUCCAUGGCUCACGCUCAUGUAUUGCGUGAAGGUUGAAAAAGUUUGAGAUUAUUUAAGUAUGAAACAAUUGCUUGGCUUGUCAUCGGGGGUAUAGAAGUUGGGAACAUCUUUGUGUGACGAAAAUGAAGCAUAGACUAACUAUAUGAUUUUGUAGGGAUGAACUUUCUUUUGCCAUGUUAUUUUGAGAAGACAUGAUUGCUUUGAUUAGUAUGCUUGAAGUAUUAUUAUUUUUGUGUCAAUAUGAACUUUUGUCUUGAAUCUUUUGGAUCUGAAUAUUCAUAUCACAAUUAAGAAGAUUUACAUUGACAUUAUGCCAAAGUAUCACUCCGCAUCAAAAAUUCUUUUUUAUCAUUUACCUACUCGAGGACAAGCAGGAAUUAAGCUUGGGGAUGCCUGAUACGUCUCCAACGUAUCUAUAAUUUUUGAUUGCUCCAUGCUACUUUAUCUACUGUUUUGUACUAUUGGGCUUUAUUUUCCACUUUUAUAUUACUUUUGGGACUAACCUAUUAACCGGAGGCCCAGCCCAGAAUUGCUGUUUUUUGCCUUUUUCAGUAUUUCGAAAAAACAGAAUAUCAAACGGAGUCCAAACGGAAUGAAACCUUUGGGAUCGUGAUUUUCCAACCGAACGUGAUCCAGGAGACUUGGACCCUACUCCAAGAAGUGUCCGAGGAGGUCACGAGGGUGGAGGGCGCGCCCCCCUGGGCGCGCCCCCUACCUGGUGGGCCCCUCGAAGCUCCACCGACGUACUCCUUCCUCCUAUAUAUACCUACGUAUCCCUGAAUGAUCAAAACAGGAGACAAAAACCUAAUUCCACCGCCGCAACCUUAUGUAUCCACGAGAUCCCAUCUUGGGGCCUGUUCCAGAGUUCCGCCGGAGGGGGCAUCCACCACGGAGGGCUUCUACAUCAUCACCAUAGCCCCUCCGAUGAAGUGUGAGUAGUUUACUUCAGACCUUCGGGUCCAUAGCUAGUAGCUAGAUGGCUUCUUCUCUCUUUUUGGAUCUCAAUACAAUGUUCUCCCCCUCUCUCGUGGAGAUCUAUUUGAUGUAAUCUUCUUUUUGCCGUGUGCUUGUUGAGACUGAUGAAUUGUGGGUUUAUGAUCCAGUAUUAUCUAUGGAAAAUAUUUGAUUCUCCUCUGAAUUCUUUUAUGUAUGAUUGAGUUAUCUUUGCAAGUCUCUUCGAAUUAUCUUUUUGGUUUGGCCAACUAGAUUGGUAGUUCUUGCAAUGGGAGAAGUGCUUAGCUUUGGGUUCAAUCUUGCGGUGUCCUUACUCAGUGACAAAAAGAGUUGCAAGGCACGUAUUGUAUUGUUGCCAUCGAGGAUAACAAGAUGGGGUUUUUAUCAUAUUGCAUGAAUUUAUCCCUCUACAUCAUGUUAUCUUGCUUACGGCGUUAUUCUGUUUUUAACUUAAUACUCUAGAUGUAUGCUGGAUAACGGUCGAUGAGUGGAGUAAUAGUAGUAGAUGCAGAAUCAUUUUGAUCUACUUGUUUUGGAUGUGAUGCCUAUAUACAUGAUCAUUGCCUAGAUAUACUCACAACUAUGCUCAAUUUUGUCAAUUGCUCAACAGUAAUUUGUUCACCCACCGUAGAAUACUUAUGCUCUUGAGAGAAGCCACUAGUGAAACCUAUGACCCCCGGGUCUAUUCUCAUCAUAUCAAUCUCUAUCACUUUAUUUACUUGCUUUGUUUUUACUUUGCCCUUACUUUUUACUUUGCAUCUAUCUAUCAAAAAUACCAAAAAUAUUAUCUCUAUCAGAUCUCACUCUCGUAAGAUCUGAAGGGAUUGACAACCCCUAAGCGUUGAUACCUUGGUUGCGAGUUGGUUGCGAGUUGCUAUCAUUUUGUGUACGUUCGAGGGACUUGUGCAUGGUCUCCUAUUGGAUUGAUACCUUGGUUCUCAAAAACUGAGGGAAAUACUUACACUACUUUACUGCAUCAUCCUCUCCUCUUCGGGGAAAUCCAACGCAGUGCUCAAGAGGUAGCAGCGUGGCUUCCACCGAGCUGCUUCAGCCGCAGCAUGUCUUGACGGCUCCUGAUAGCUACCCCAUGGAUUUUAUCAUGGAGUCUCAAAAUUGCCACCUUAUGGCGCAAUGGCAGAACUUAAAAGUCAAGGCGGCUGUCGGCCAAGUUCAACCUUCUGAACCCGGCGCAACUUUUCACUGUCAUCCGAUUCCAGAAGGAUAUGCUAGGGUGACGGUGGACGGAAUAACGGAGGGAUUUGAGGACCUCCAGCUUGACCACCCUACCGGUGAAGGGGAGACUCGGCUGGGUUAUGCUCUGAAGACUCCAUGCCUAUGGCGGAUGGAGUUCAUCAAGCUUCCGAACUGGACGCCUCCUCCUCCUCCUCCGGCGAGUCAGGGCACUCCACCUCCUCCACCGCCUCCUCCUCCGGCGAGUGACGAUCAGGGCACUCGGCCUCCUUCUCCGGCGUGUGGCGGCACUCCGCCUCCUUCUCCGCCUGCGCCGGCGCGCCCGAGCAGCCAGUAGCCUCCUCCUUCUCCGCCUAGCCAGCAAGGGCGGAAGAGACCCGCCGCCGCCCCGGCUGCUCCGGCGCGUCAUAGUCCUUCUCCUCCACCUCGUAAGCAAGCACGAAAGAAGACAAACGCCGCAGCCGCUCCGUCUGCUCCGGUGUCUAGCAGUACAGCCAGAGGCGGGAGGCAAUACACAUACAGUCCUUCUCUCAAGCCUCUAGAGAAGUUACCGUACGAGAGGACCGAGGUGGAAAACGCGAAGAUCGUGCGGGCUGAAGUGGACGACUUCUUUGAAGGGUUGAAAGCAAAGAGACAUCCACCUCUGGAGAAGAAGGUAGAUCCGGUGAAAGCAAAGCGCACUAUUGAUGCCCUGAGGAAACCACCAAAGUCUCCACCGAGAACCAACUAUGAGCGCAUUACUGAAGGGAAGUACUGUCAGACAUCAAAGGUCAAAAGAACGAGCAGCUGCGAAAAAAAUUGUCCAGCUCGGCGAACAAGCAAAUCAAUUGUGCCCCCCGCUCAAUGUGUCUAGCGGCGACAUCGUCGCUAAUGCUCCGGGGAUGGUGGCCGGUUAUAGCAAUCUUGCAGAUUACCUGCCUGACGAUCAACUUCCUGAUUUCAUGGAGGUGGACGAACACAGAUAUGAGUACGGGAAGCCUCUCGUCAAAGAUGAAAAAUCUCUAACAACGAUGAUGCGAAGAUUCCAUAAUUGGUACAUGAAAACCCGCAGAGAGUCUGGGGGGACGAAUACUUUGUAUCUGAGAAUUAAAGAGGAGCACGACCUUGUUGGAACUGAUCUAUUGCAUGUUCCAUUUGAGGAGUUCUUCGAGUUCUUCAAUCAAAAGGCCCUCGAUAAAUUAACGGUCUUUUGCUACUGUCUAUAAGUACUAUUUCUGUCAUUAAGUCUCUAUAUAUAGCUCGGCUCUUCCAUUGCAUGUAUUUAUAAUUAAUUAUCCUCAAUAUAUUAUGCAUAUUGAAGAUCGUCGAGUGCAGAAAACAAGAAAUGUAUGAUAUUGGGUUCAUUAACACAAAUAUCAUAGAUGAAAUCCAGGUUAAAAAGCACGCCGAAGAGGCCGAGGCCAACUUGCUACAAUCGUUGAUCAAAAAUCAAAACAAAGAUACCAUACUCUUUCCUUACAACUUCGAGUGAGUGUUACUGUCGUGUGCAUAUUUGGUUUCCCUUAUUACUCGAGCGAGGUUAUAGUAAUGUAAUUGAUGAGUUAUGCAUGCGUGCGCAGCUUCCACUAUGUUCUCCUGGAGAUAAAGCUUGAGCGGGGACUAGUAACCGUCUUAGACUCGAGACGAAAAGCUCCUGAAACCUAUGCGGACAUGACUAAAAUGCUCAACAAGUAAGUUCAAUCGAUCAUUAUCGCACCAUAUCGGUAACUUUUUGUUCAUUUCCUGAUAUCUCAAGUAAUAAUAAUUAUUUUCUUUCCCUUGCAGAGUUUGGAAACAGUUCACCGCAGAAGCUCCGGGACUGCCGAAGGAGCUGCGAUAUACAUUCCCGAAAGUAAGUACUACUGGCUAGCUAGUUGCGCGCAUCUCCCGUUGAUUCUAUAGCUAUACUUUCAUCAAUGCCAUUUAUAAUGCUUCAUUAUCAGUUUGAUUGACCUCUAUUUCUCAUAAAGUGCUUGUGACAGGAACAAGGGAAUGAUUUCUGUGGAUACUACAUGUGCGAGUUCAUCUACAACGCGACUUUGAGAAAUAAGCGGGGCUACUCUAAAAGACAAUAUGAAGUGCGUAAGCAAUAAUAUUCACAAUUUCAUUUUAUUACACCAUCAUUUCUGUUGCGUUUCAUUCAUAUAUAUGUAUUAACCCCCUUCUUCAAAUUAGACGUGGCAGAUGCGGAAUGAACUCCUACAACAAGAUCUCAUGAAAUCAAUUCAAGAGGAAUUGGCGGGAUUCUUUCUUGACCACGUCAUCAAUAAAGCCGGAUAAUACCAUGUGGAAGUUGAUUUCAAUUGCUAGGGGAUUGUAAGAGAUCUUACAUAUUGUAUAUGUAUGUAGCCAGUAGCGUCGGAUAGAUAAUAUGAAAACUUGUUAUUCGACCAAUCUCUCGAAGAAGGAGAGGUCGAUCGAUCACUUCUCGUGGUAUGCAUGACAAACUUCUGUACUUAAUGGUUUCCUUCAUUUUCUUACUAGCUAGCGUGUCGAGGGACUCUCUAUGUAUAGUAGGUAGUGUCGACCAAGCAUGGAGAUAAGAGAGGACACUUCUCCCUAUUGAAGUGAGAGAUUCACGAGAGCCGGCGGCAGACCCGGACCAGCAAGGAUGCGGAGCUCUCCUCCAGCUUGCGAACACCCCAAGGAAGCACCGGAACAAGGUCACUUCUGAUUUAAAUAUGUUUUAUCCUUUGGCGGGUGAGGGAGUCCUGGGGGUGUCCGGAUAGCCGAACUAUCACCGUUGGCCGGACUCCUGGACUAUGAAGAUACAAGAUUGAAGACUUCGUCCCGUGUCCGGAUGGGACUUUACUUGGCGUGGAAGGCAAGCUUGGCGAUACGGAUAUGUAGAUCUCCUACCAUUGUAACCGACUCUGUGUAACCCUAACCCUCUCCGGUGUCUAUAUAAACUGGAGGGUUUUAGUCCGUAGGACGAACAACAAUCAUACCAUAGGCAAGCUUCUAGGGUUUAGCCUCUUUGCUCUCGUGGUAGAUCUACUCUUGUACCCAUAUCAUAAAUAUCAAUCAAGUAGGAGUAGGGUUUUACCUCCAUUGAGAGGGCCCGAACCGGGGUAAAAACAUCGUGUCCCUUGUCUCCUGUUACCAUCCGCCUAGACGCACAGUUCGGGACCCCCUACCCGAGAUCCAUCGGUUUUGCCACCGACAUUGGUGCUUUUAUUGAGAGUUCCUCUAUGUCGCCACCUUUAGGCCCGACGGCUCCUUCGAUCAUCAACAACGACGCGGUCCAGGGUGAGACUUUUCUCCCCGGGAAGAUCUUCGUAUUCGGCGGCUUUGCACUGCGGGCCAAUUCACUUGGCCAUCUGGAGCAGAUCAAAAGCGACGCCCCUGGCCAUCAGGUCAGAUUUGGGAGUUUGAACUACACGGCUGACAUCCGCGGAGACUUGAUCUUUGACAGAUUCGAGCCACAGCCAAGCGCGCUGCACUGUCUCGAUGGGUAUGAUCUAGCUCUGCCGCCGAACAGUGCCCUAGAGGCCGCACCAGCGUCUGCUCCGACCCUUAGCUCGGAGCCGACUUCGCUGAUCGAGGACGAGUGGCUGGACACUGCUUCGGGGGCUACGAUCUCUACGGCGAUUGAGCCGAACACCAUCCCUAUCCUUGGCAAAGCCCAUGAUUCCGAGGUGCCGGACUCCUCUUCGGACUCCGAACCUCCCGCGCCCCUGCCAAUCAAAUCUGAUUGGGCGCCGGUUAUGGAGUUCACUGCCGCGGACAUCCUUCAACACUCGCCCUUUGGCGACAUCCUGAAUUCACUAAAGUCUCUCUCUUUAUCAGGAGAGCCCUGGCUGGACUAUGGUCAGGAAGGUUGGGAUGAGGACAACGAAGAAAUUCAGCACCCACCCACCACCCACUUUGUAGCCACUGUUGAUGAUUUAACCGACAUGCUCGACUUCGACUCUGAAGACAUCGACGGUAUGGACGACGAUGCAGGAGACAACCAAGAACCAGCGCCUACAGGGCACUGGACGGCCACCUUGUCAUACGACAUAUACAUGGUGGACACCCCAAAAGAUGGGAAUGGCAAUGGAACAGCGGAGGAUGACCCCUCCAAGAAACAGCCCAAGUGUCGGCGUCAGCGGCGCCGCUCUAAAUCCCGCCACAGCAAAAAUGGUGAUUCCGGCAUGGGAGAUAAUAACACCCCGGACAGUGCCGAAGACAACCCCCUCCAGUAGGAUUCAGCACAGGAGGUGGGAGAAGCCAGCCCUCAUGAUAGAGCGGCAGACAGAGAGGUAGAGGACGAUAAUUAUAUGCCUCCCUCCGAAGAUGAAGAAAGCCUCGACGACGACGAAUUUGUCGUGCCCGAGGAUCCCGUCGAACUGGAGCAUUUCAAGCGCAGGCUUAUGGCCAUGGCAAGCAGCCUUAAGAAAAAGCAGCAGCAACUUAGAGCUGACCAAGACUUGCUAGCUGAUAGAUGGACCGAAGUCCUUGCAGCCGAAGAGUACAAACUCGAUCGCCCCUCCAAGAGCUACCUAAAAUGCAGGCUGCUACCCCAAUCAGAGGAGGAAGCACCCAAACCUACAUCACCAGCGCAUGACGCGGCCGAUCGGCCACCUCGUGGCCACGACAGAGAGGCCUCCAGGCCUUCCACUAAAGACGCACCCCGGCGUCGCUCGAAAAGUACAAAGCCACAGGGAAAUGCGCCAGACUUGCGAGACAUAUUGGAGGACAAGGCAAGGCAAAUAAGAUCGAUCCAUGGAUCACGUGGGCGCCCCACGACACGUGAUGACAACCGUCACGCCGAAUACAGCAAUUCCGGCCGGGCCGAACACAGUAGACAAAGCUCAUUUGAACUGCGUCGUGACAUAGCCCAAUACAGAGGCGUCACACACCCACUAUGCUUCACAGACGAAGUAAUGGAUCAUCAAAUCCCCGAGGGUUUCAAACCCGUAAACAUUGAAUCAUACAACGGCACAACAGAUCAUGCGGUUUGGAUCAAGGACUAUCUCCUUCACAUCCACAUGGCCUGUGGCGAUGAUCUACACACCAUCAAAUACCUCCCACUCAAGCAGAAAGGACCAGCUCGGCAUUGGCUCAACAGCUUGCCAGCAGAAUCAAUUGGUUGUUGGGAAGACCUGGAAGCCGCAUUCCUUGAUAACUUCCAGGGCACAAAUGUGCGACCACCAGACGCUGAUGACCUAAGCCACAUAAUUCAGCAGCUAGAUGAAUCGGCCAGACAAUUCUGGACACGGUUCUUAACCAAGAAAAAUCAAAUCGUUGACUGUCCGGAUGCAGAGGCCCUUGCAGCCUUCAAACAUAACACCCGCGACGAGUGGCUUGCCCGGCACCUAGGACAGGAAAAGCCGAAAUCCAUGGCAGCCCUCACAUCACUCAUGACCCACUUCUCCGUGGGAGAGGACAGCUGCCUAGCUCGUAGUAACAACCUGACCAAAAACCCUGGUAGUUCGGAUACCAAGGACAGCAAUGGCAGGUCGCGUCGCAACAAGCACAAGCGACGCAUUAACAGUGAUAAUGCUGAAGAUACGACAGUCAAUGCCGGAUUCAGAGGCUCUAAACCCGGUCAGCGGAAAAAGCCGUUCAAAAGAAAUACUCAGGGCCCGUCCAAUUUGGACCGAAUACUCGAUCGCUCGUGCUAGAUACAUGGCACCCCCGAAAAACCAGCCAAUCACACCUACAGGGAUUGUUGGGUGUUCAAGCAGGCAGGCAAGUUAAAUGCCGCAAACAACGACAAGGGGCUGCAUAGCGAUGAGGAGGAGGAGCCCCGGCCGCCGAACAAUAAGGACAGAAGGGCUUUCCCCCACAAGUGCGGACGGUGAACAUGAUAUACGCAACCCACAUACCCAAAAGGGAGCAGAAGUGUGCACUAAGGGACGUAUAUGCGAUGGAGCCAGUCGCCCCAAAGUUCAACCUGUGGUCCUCCUGCCCGAUCACUUUUGAUCAAAGGGACCACCCCACUAGUGUCCGCCACGGCGGAUUCGCUGCAUUGGUUCUUGACCCAAUCAUUGACAGAUUUCACCUCACUAGAGUCCUGAUGGACGGCGGCAGCAGCCUGAACCUGCUUUACCAGGAUACAGUGCGCAAAAUGGGCAUAGACCCCUCAAGGAUUAAACCCACAAAAACGACCUUUAAAGGCGUCAUACCGGGUGUAGAGGCCAACUGUACAGGCUCAGUUACACUCGAAGUGGUCUUCGGAUCCCCGGAUAACUUCCAAAGCGAGGAAUUAAUCUUCGACAUAGUCCCGUUCCGCAGUGGCUGUCACGCACUGCUCGGACGAACCGCAUUUGCAAAGUUCAAUGCGGUGCCGCACUAUGCAUACCUCAAGCUCAAGAUGCCAUGCCCUCGAGGAGUAAUCACGGUCAAUGGAAACACCGAACGCUCUCUUUGAACGGAGGAGCAUAUGGCGGCCCUCGCGGCGGAAGUACAAAGUAGCCUCUUAAGGCAAUUCUCGAGUCCGACUACUAAACGUCCGGACACCGUCAAGCGCGCCCAGAGUAACCUACAACAAGACCACCUGGCACGUUCCGAGCAUGCGUAGCAAUGCAGCCCCAACCCCAGCCCUCGCGAAAUCGCGAGACUAGUACCACGCGUACAUAACUACGCUAUGGAGAUACCUUGGGCAUAGGGGGAGGGGCACGACCACGGCAUGCCCGGAGUGCGGCUCAACCGCACCGGGGGCUCCCAAUUGUGUCAUUCUUUUUUUCCUUAUUCUCAGGACUCCGUUUUCCAGAAGCCCUGUCCGGCAGUAGAAUCGCCGAACUCACGAUGCAACAGCCAGGGAAGCAGAAAAGCUACGUCGAGUGUCCAGGUGGUCUCUAUUUACGAGAAGUAUACCUGUUUUACAUACCAUCCCGCAGCCUACCCCUGGAGGGGGACAUGUUAAAUAGUCCCACCCCUUGCUUAUCGCACUAUUUGUAUCGUUCUGCUUUCAUAUCUUUUGAAUAAACAAUACAUAGCUUCUGCUUAUUAUUGCAUUCCUUUUUUUCCAUAAAUGUUCAUCUAUGACAUGUUGCACCCGUACAACUUGGUACGGUCAAUACACCAGGGGCUUAAGUACCCCAAAACAUGAUGUGAUAAGUCCGAACACUUUCACAAGUGCGGCACCCCAAACUUAUAGCAUUAUAUGCAUCUGCUCUGAAUCAUGUCUUGGGUCAAUAGUUGGGUUUGCCCGGCUCCCAUGUUUUGGUACCUUACGUUUCGUUAUAUCGGCUAAGGUAGCGUUGGGAGAACCACUGCGAUUGUGCCCCGGUUGAGCCGGGUUGAGCACCUCAGUGGAGAAAGCUAAAACUGACCGUCAUGAUAGGCGAGAGCCGAUCGCUGUACGAGAGGUUUUUCGGGUCCCUAAAGACUCAUGCCGCUUAGAGCGAGGAGUCGGCAUUGUCCGGCCAAGGCAUGGAUAGCGCCCCGAACUCGGUCUUCGGAAUACCAGGGGCUUCGCCGAAAUUUAAAAUUAUAGAAUUCUAUGGCUAAGUGAGAGUGUUCAAGCAUUAUAGUCCGGUUUCCUCGUUCGUCGUGUUGAACGCCUCCCUCGUAGAACAGAAGAAUGGGAACAAGAGCGCUCAAGUUUAUCCCGAACACCCCAGCACUCGUGGCAUGGGGGCUGAAGCCAACGACUCGCCAUCUCUCAAAUUUGAUAAACGGCCGCACAGAAUGAGAGUCUACUCAAAAAUUACCAAGAAUUGCUUAGCGCAUAUGAACAAAGUUUUCAGCGUACAGGAUAACAAAUGAGAGUCUACUCAAAAAUUACAUCUUUGGAACAUUCACCCGCUAUAAGGCGGGCACCCUUCAGGACGCCCUCAUAGUACAUCUCGGGCUUGCGAUACUCCUUUCCUGGCGGUGGUGCGUCUGCCACAAGCUUCUCGGCGUCCAUCUUGCCCGAGUGCACUUUAGCACGGGCAAGGGCCCGACGGGCACCUUCAAUGCAGACAGAACGCUUGACGACUUCAAUCCAUGGACAGGCGUCCACCAGCCGCCGCACCAGACCGAAGUAGCUCCCAGGCAUGGCUUCUUUAGGCCACAGCCGAACUAUGAGGCCAUUCAUGGCCUGUUCGGCAACCUUGUGGAGCUCGGCCAGCUGCUUCAGCUGGUCGCUCAGGGGCACCGGAUGUCCGGCCUCAACAUAUUGAGACCAGAACACCUUUUCCGUCGAGCUCCCCUCCUCGGCUCGGUAGAAUGCGGCAGCAUCAGACACACUAUGGGGCAGAUCUGCGAACGCUCCUGGAGAGCUCCGAAUUCGGGUAAGUAACAGAUAAUUCACUUUUACAUGCUUGCUUUGCAUGAAGAAUGCCUUACCUGCCGCUAUCUUUUUUAUCGCCUCAAUCUCCUGGAGGGCCUUCUGGGCUUCGCCUUAGCGGCUUUGGCACUCUCAAGAGCCAAGGCGAGCUCGGACUCUCGAGUCUUCGAGUCACGCUCCAAACUCUCGUGUUUUUUCCACAAGAGCCUGGAGCUCUUGCUGCACCUCCGCCACCCGCACCUCCUGCUUCUCUCGCUCGGUGCGCUCCGCGGCCACACUGUUUUCGGCCUUGGACACCACUUCCUUUAGGGUCGCCACCUCGUUCGUGGCCCCUGCAAUACUCACGUUAUUCCUGUCAUUUUUCAACCAAAUCCUUUCUAUAAGGUAUUACUUUAAUAAGGUAUUACUUACCUUCCUUGUCCUCGAGCUACUUCUUGGCAAGGCCGAGCUCAUUCUCGGACCGCUCAAGGCUCUCCUUCAAUGCAUUGACCUCCGCAGUCAGUGCGGCAGAGGUCAGCAGCGCAACCUGCACUCCCAAAUUGACAUAUUUAUGUUAGACUCCUGCGUAUAUCUUUUUAGAUCCUCAGCUCGGCUUUUCUUUCCGAACACCGAACUAAGCAUCAGGGGCUACUGUCUAUGCGGUAAUAUUCUUACAUAUCUUAAAAACUUACCUCAAAGCCUGUUAGAAGGCUGGUACAGGCUUCAGUCAGCCCGCUCUUGGCGGACUGAACUUUCUGGAUCACCGCACUCAUGAUAGUGCGGUGCUCCUCGUCGAUGGAGGCGCCGUUAAGCGCCUCUAGCAAGCUGUCUAGUGCCUCCGGUUGGACGGAGGCCACCGGCGUCGCAGUCUUGCCCUUCUUACGAAGGGGCUGCCUGCCGGACUUCAGAACCACUGUAGGUUCCGGUACGGAGUCCAGGCACAGGGCCGGAGUUAGAGCCCUCUGGGGUUUUGCCCCCUUUGCACCCGGAGUAUGGGAGGUCACCUUGUGGCGCCUCCAGGACCACCUCCUCCUGGUCUGGCCCCUUUUGGGACUCCACCGCGGCGUCAUCUGUGUCACGAGGGGAGGAGGCGGUCGGAAGUGAAGUGCUAUUCACAUCCGACGAAUCCAGGGAGCCGCUCGACGAAGCGGGGAGCUCGUCCUUGGGCAGGCUACAUGGUUGUAUUCGGCGUUAGAAGACACUAUGCGACAAAUGAAAAAUCAUGAGUUAUUCUGGAAUCCGGACACUUACGAUCUCACCAGGGGCUUGGCCCUCGAGGGCCACUCCUCUUCGCCAUCGUCGACGUUGGUGGAAAAGUCCGGAGGAAGGGUCCUUCCUUUCUUGGACCCCCCGGCCCCCCAGCUGGGGCAGCCUUCCUUUUCUUCUCUCUCCCCCGCUGGGGGAGAGGCCUCUUUUUCCUCCUCCUCGUCUUCGCGGGAGGAGUCGGCCUCGGAAUCAUCGGACGAUGAGUCCGACAACACCUGGCGCCGGGCACUCCUUCAAGUUCCCGUGGCCUUCUUCUUGGCCUUCUUCUCCGGCACCACGUGAGGUGCCGGAACCAGCAGCCCCAUCAAGCGGGCGUCCACUGGGUCUUCUGGGAAAGGAGCCGGACAGUUAACCUGCCCGGACGUCUUCAGCUAGUCCUGUCAAAGGUAAGGGAGUUUAGAUCCCACAUCGAGUCAGACUAUGAAAAACAAGAGUCUCGUAAAGGGUAGAAUAGCUUACCUCGCUGGCCUGACGCCGCGAGCUGAAUCCGCGAUCUUCGGUAGCGAAUGCGGGGGCCUCGGCGCCCUUAAACAGCACCUUCCAGGCAUCUUCGUACGUAGUGUCAAAGAGCUUGCUCAAGGUUUGGUGCUGUGCCGGAUCAAACUCCCACAAUUUGAAGGCCCGUUGUUGGCAUGGGAGGAUCCGGCGGAUGAGCAUGACCUGGACUACGUUGACAAGCUUGGGAUUCUUGUUCACCAGUUUUUGGACGCAGGCUUGAAGUCCGGUCAGCUCUUCUGAAUCUCCCCACGUUAGGCCCGUCUCUUUCCAGGAGGUGAGCCGUGUGGGGAAACCAGAUCGGAAUUCGGGGGCCGCCGCCCAUUUGGAGUUGCGCGGCUCGGUGAUGUAGAACCACCCCGAUUGCCACCCCUUUAUUGUCUCCACGAAGGAGCCCUCGAGCCAUAGGACGUUGGCCAUCCGGCCCACCAUGGCGCCUCCGCACUCCGCUUGGCGGCCGCCCACUACCUUCGGCUUGACAUUAAAAGUCUUCAGCCAUAAGCUGAAGUGGGGCUGGAUGCAGAGGAAGGCCUCGCACACGACGAUGAACGCCGAGAUGUUGAGGAUGAAGUUCGGGGCCAGAUCGUGGAAAUCUAGGCCAUAGUAGAACAUGAGCCCCCGGAAAAAUGGGUGAAGUGGAAAACCUAGUCCGCGGAGGAAGUGGGUGAGGAACACCACCCUCUCAUGGGGCCUGGGGGUGGGGAGGAGCUGCCCCUUAUCGGGGAGCCGAUGUGCGAUGUCGCUGGACAAGUAUCCGGCCUUCCGCAGCUUUUUGACUGGUUCCUCCGUUACGGAGGAGACCAUCCACUUGCCUCCCGCUCCGGACAUGGAUGGAGAAGGUUGAGGAGGGAUGUGCAGACUUGGGUGCUGGAGCUUGAGUGCGCGGAAAUGGAUGAGCAAAGGAGGAAGAAGGCGUAGGUGAAAAGGUGGAUCCUUAUCCCCUUAUAUGGACGGACGAAGCUAUGCAUCCCCCACCAGCCUGGUAAAACUCGCUUAUCUCCCAAGCGCUGUAAUCAAUGGCGCGGUUGGAUUACCCACGCCCGUAUUGAUGAGAAUCCCGGAAUAAGGGGGCACGAUCUCCGCUUUGAUAAGACGUGCCAAGGAAACCGCCUCGCUAAACAUGCUGAGGUGGGACAGUAAAAACAAUUCCAAUAAAGGCUUGGCCGUGGUGUGACGUCAUGCCGCAGAAUACGUCAGUAGAUUGAAUUUGUGUAAAGAUUAUUCUCUCUACGGUGGUAUGUGGAACUUAUUUUGCAGAGCCGGACACUAUCCUUGUGUUCAAAAUCUUCUAUGAAGUAUUUGGAGGAGGAACCCGCCUUGCAAUGCCGAAGACAAUAUGAGCACCGGACUCGUCGUCAUUGAAGCCUGGUUCAGGGGCUACUGAGGGAGUCCUGGAUUAGGGGGUGUCCAGAUAGCCGAACUAUCACCGUUGGCCGGACUCCCGGACUAUGAAGAUACAAGAUUGAAGACUUCGUCCCGUGUCCGGAUGGGACUUUCCUUGGCAUGGAAGGCAAGCUUGGCGAUACGGAUAUCUAGAUCUCCUACCAUCAUAACCGACUCUGUGUAACCUUAACCUUCUCCGGUGUCUAUAUAAACCAGAGGGUUUUAGUCCGUAGGACGAACAACAAUCAUACCAUAGGCUAGCUUCUAGGGUUUAGCCUCUUUGAUCUCGUGGUAGAUCUACUCUUGUACUACCCAUAUCAUCAAUAUCAAUCAAGCAAGCGUAGGGUUUUACCUCCAUCGAGAGGGCCCGAACCUGGGUAAAAACAUCGUGUCCCUUGUCUCCUGUUACCAUCCGCCUAGAUGCACAGUUCGGGACCCCCUACCCGAGAUCCGCCGGUUUUGACACCGACAGCGGGUCUCACUCGUCAACCGCUCAAUUCUUCUGACUUGGAUUAUCAGGAAACUUUCUCUUCCUCCAGCGACUCAAUGCAGUCCAAUCUGCCGGCUUUCAAGACCGCACCAGGGUAAUGAUAACCUACUUAUCCUGUAUUCAUUUCAAUCCAUUGCAUCUGUACUAACCUUUUGAUUUGAUGCAGUGGACAAGCCAAACCCAGCAAACGGGUUAAAAAGAACAAGCCGGCUGAAGACACGGUUGUGACCGAGCUAGUACUUGGAACAACUGCGCCAGAAUCGUCAACUCAUGAGCCGCCAUCUAAACCAUCUCAAGAUAUACCAACUCCAACUGCUGACCCGCCUGCUGAGCGAGCCGUUGAUGGCUCAGAAAACCCGGAUGCCCCUAGCCCGGUCAGGACGGAUGAUCCUCAAGACACUGAUGUUCCGCCAAGUGUUCCGCCAAGGAGGAGCUUCUGGAACACCGCCGGGUCAAGCUUGACAUCGCGGACUAUACUCACAUGAGUAUGGGAGAAGUCUUUUCUGGCUACAUGAGCCAAGUGCACAGCAGUCGUAACGUCGAGAUUGACAUGGUGAAGCAGAUGCACCAAAAAUUUGAGGUACAACCCUUUCUCUGUAUUCAUUUAUCUUUACUAUGCCAGCCCCCAAGUCUAUUGCUUAUGAUGAAUAUGUUGUAGACUUAGAAGCAAAUUUAGUGACAUUAGUAACAUAGAUGGAUAAAAUAUGCAAGAAGUCCGGCUUACUCCGUAGUCCCCAAGGGGUGGCUUAACCAGCAUGGUUGAACCGGUCCUUCAUAUGGUUGUAUAAAAUAAAAUACUGACAAAGCUUUGAACAGCAAUAUGCAUUAGCCCCCAAGUGCCAAGUACUAUUGCUUGCAAAGUGCUUGGGACUUACUGUCAUGAACCUCCACCUUAAGUAAAAUUCUUCGGUAGACAUUAGUCCCCAAGUGCCAAGUGUUGUUGCUUGCAAAAAGGCUUGGGACUUAAUAUUGCAUCAGGAUUGUCCUAAUUUUGACCCUAUAUUUGUAUAGGCCGCCAUGAGUCAACUUGAAUCAGAAGUGACUGAUCUGAAGAACCGCCUUGAGGCCCAAGAGAUGGAAACCCAAAGUGUCGACUCCAAGUUUAAAUUCCGCAUUUUUGAACAAGAAAAACUGAAGAAAGAAUUUGAAAUGGAGAAAAAGGCCUAGGCUGGUGAAAAAAUUGCAUUGAUUAAUCGAGCUGAGAAGGUAGAGGAGGCUCUUGAAGAAGCAACCGGUGAAUUAACCGGCUUAAAACGCCAUGUCUCUCAGAUGGUCUCAGCAAUCUUUGUAAGUCGCCCUGCAAGUGUUAAAUACUUGAACCUUUUAACUGAUCAUAUAAUUGGAAUUGACUCACCUGACCAUGUUUAUGCAGGCCCCAGGAGUUCAAAUCUGAACCAAGAUAUGUUGAUCAAGCUGAAGGCGUUUUAUACACUGGUGGAGCAACUGUACACCGGGUUUCAGCGUGCCUUAGCCACGGUGGCUUUGUCAAAUGAAGUGCCUACCCUCCUGGCAAAGGUAUUAAAGAAGCUUUCCGUACUACCCCAACGGUUCAAUGAACUAAGGCGGUCAGCUACAAGAGUCGGAGCAGUGAAUGCUUUAAGCCGGGCCAAAGCUUGGCUACCAAAGUUAGACCCGGCCGACAUUGCCAUUGGCUAUCCAAGCUUGAAGGAGGAUGGUACUUCCUUUGAACAGGAAGACUUUACCGCUUGUGUGAAGGAGGUACGCCCCAUGGCCACCGUGAUAGCUGACGAAGUGGAUCUUACCAAGUACCAGGCGGGUUAUGACGCAGAGAACCGGAGAAUUCCAACGCCUCACUAUAAAGUGACCAGUCUGAUCCGCCCACUCUGUAAGCACACCUUCGCCCCUGAAGUUGACCCGGCCGGACUAGUUGAUGAUGAAGCUGACUUUGAAGCUUUGAACAACAUUGACUGGUCAUCGUCAACCUUCUAGGAAAGGGAAUAGGGCGAAGAAGCGGAGAGGGCUAACCCGGACGCUUCAGGCCAACAUGAGAGAUAAUCUGCCAUGGCGGCUCAUACCUGUGAUGUGAUAAAACACAAUAUGAAUCAUUUGGACUCGGGGAGUCAUGUAAUAGAAUAGAAAUAACUUUGCUUUUGCCGGGCCAUCGUGCACGUUUUUGGUGCUUGAUACUAUUAAGCCGCCAUAUUAGCUUCACCCAGUUUACACUUAUCAUAUUUUUUUCUUUAUGCUUGAUCAAGUCUUUUAACUGCCCUGCACAUAGAAAUAGAUGACAAGGUCCCUUGGUGGCUUACCGCAAGGCGGGUCAUAAUAGCUUGAUACAUUUAAAAUAAAAGAAGAAUCACAGAUAGGCCUGUUGUAACAUAUAAUGUUGAAACACAACUAUAAUCUUCUACCUGUGACCUUUUUGAAUUUCCACUUCCGGCUUAUAUGACCCGGACAGUAAGGGUGAUAACCCAAUCUUAGGAAACCAAUAUUUCCAAAUUAUAAUGAUUCUCAUAUAUUGGCGACUUAUCAGCCAAUAUCAACCUGGGUUAAAUUAACCACACUUGUACUUGUAAAACUCAAAAAAUUCUCAAGUCAAAUAAAGAGUGCUUUCCAAAGAAAACUUAAACCAAGUAGAAUAUAUAAAAAAUUCAAGGCUUCUGAUUCGAAUACGAUCAGUAAACCGUUCCAAAGGGGUUAAGCUAGGUACGAUCAUGUAGCCCCCAGUGGCCUUGGCGUUGCGGCGAUCAAGAGGGUACCGACAUUUAUGUUCUCUUUGGUUCGAAUACGACCUAUGUUCAAAUAGGAAGCCCCCUAAUGACCUUGAGAGUUUUUUAACGACUCUGAUUCGAAUACGAUCAAAGUCGGUUCCCAAAAGGGGUUAAGCCAUGAUUCGAAUACGAUCAAGAAGCCCCCUAAUGAGCUCGGCAGUGUGCGAAUCAAAAGGGUACCGACAGCUAUGUUCUCUUUGCACUACUAGGAAAAGGGCUAUAGAUGGAAAUGACACUAAUGGCGCACCAGACAAGUGGUGCGCCAUUAGUAUAUACUAAUGGCGCACCACCCUCUGAUGCGCCAUUAGUGUUGAAACUACUAAUGGCGCACCCUGACCACGGUGCGCCAUUAGUACCAAAUUUUUUUUUUGAACUAGUGCGCCUGUCCAAACAUACUAAUGGCGCAUCCCCUGGUGGUGCGCCAUUACUAGUUGUAACUAGUAAUGGCGCACCAUCCAGGAGGUGCGCCACUAAUGUUAUUUUUUUAUUAUUGCUUUUAUUCCUUUUUUUGCAAAAGUUCUAAUGGCGCACCGCCAGGGGGUGCGCCAUUAGUAACCUGGAUUACUAAUGGCGCAUUUGUUGCUGGUGCGCCAUUAGUAAGUGGGCAGCAACAAGAUAUUUUGGACAGCCUCUCCUCCCACACUCACUUUCUCCCCACUUCAUUCUCUCCACCGCCUCCUCCUUGUCUCGGGUGCCUCCUCUUUUUCACCUCAUUUCCACCAUAGAUUCAUUCAAAUUAAGUGGUUAAGUUACCUUGUUUUGCUAGGUAAGUAAGGGGGGAAGCUAUAUUUAUGUUGUUCUCCCUACAAACAAUGUGCACAUGCACUUUUUAUGGCCUAGCUAGAUCUAUGUAUGUUCGUGGUGUUGCAUAUGUUUGUGGUGUUGCAUAUGUGUUUGUGUUUGGAGGUGUACCGGUAUUUGAAAUGCGAUAGUUGCCAAUAUUUUGCCGGAAUGUUGAUUCAUUUCCGUUUCGGCGAGAAUUUUGGCAUUAAGCAUUCUUUUUGGUCCUAUUUUUAGGGAAAGUCAUGCCAAAUUUUUCUUGGUUCUAAAAUAUCGUUUUGCUCUACCCCGCAGACGACCAUGGUCCGCACGAUGACCGAAGGCAUCGUGAAUAGGUUUUUGAGGUCCGCGAAGGCCGAGAUGCUUCAAAAGAACGAGACGGAGAUAAGAUGUCCGUGUCGAAGAUGCAAGCUGAAUAGCCUUAUUGCGGACCCGGAUUCCGGGCAGGUGCGGGACCACCUGCUCUUGCGUGGUUUCAUGGAUGGCUAUCGGUGGCAAGGUGAUGAUGAUGACUACGAAGUCGUUCAUGGGGGUCGGGCAAGAAAUGAGGAAGGGCAGCAAGACAACCACCGCGGCUCGGGGGGGCGAGAAGACGAAGAAUCCCCAGGAGAUGAUCACGACGGUGAUGCUGUACACAGUCAUCAUGUAGAAGAUGCAGGACGUGAUGAUGAUGCUGGCGGAGCAGACGACGUUGGACCAUCGAUGGGCUGGGUGCAGGACCCUCAUAUUCAAGAGCUGCUUCUCAAGCAGACGGAUAACGCAAGAGCUGCCGCCCGAGAGAAAGCAAAGAUGGAUCAACUUGAGUUAGACGCGGUUACUCCAUUGUAUGAAGGAUGCAGGCCCGAGGAUACCCGCCUGAAAGUAACGCUCAUGGCUCUGGAGAUGAAGGUAAAACACAAAAUGACCGACGCAUGCUUCGACGAGAACAUGUCAUUCUGGCACGAACGUCUUCCCAAGGGGAACAAGUGCCCGACCAGUUUGGAGGAGGCAAAGAAAAUCGUGUGUCCUCUGGAUUUACCGCACGUGAAAUACCAUGUGUGCAUGAACAAUUGCAUCAUUUAUCGGGACGAGCACGCGGAGUCUACAAUAUGUCCGGUGUGCGGUGUCACUCGAUACAAGAAGAGGAAGAAAGCUCCUCGAAAAGUGGUGUGGUACUUUCCGAUCACUCCUCGUCUGCAGCGGUAUUUCGCGGAUCCUAAGGUAGCAAAGCUCCUGCGUUGGCACGCGGAUAGGGAGGAGAAGAAGCGAGAAGAUGACGCAAAUGAUCCGGAGAUAGAUAAAAAAGACAAGAUGCUGAGUCACCCUAAGGAUGCGAGCCAGUGGCAAGCAUUGAACUUCGAAUACCCAAAAUUUGGGAAAGAUCCAAGGAACAUCGUGCUGGGCGCGAGCACCGAUGGAGUCAAUCCGUUUGGCAGCCAGAGAAGCACACAUAGCACCUGGCCUGUGUUUGUGUGGAUGUACAACCUUCCCCCCUGGUUGUGCAUGAAGAGGAAGUACAUUCACAUGAGUAUGCUAAUUGAAGGGCCGAAACAACCAGGGAACGACAUCAAUCUGUAUCUAGGGCUGCUGAAAGAGGAGCUUGACACGCUGUGGAAAACGCCAGCCAAUACGUGGGACGCCGCAGAGAAAGAAUAUUUCCCUAUGAGAGCCGCAGUGCUCACGAUGGUGCAUGACUAUCUCGGUUACGGAUAUCUUGCGGGGCAGGUAGUCCACGGAUUUUCUGGAUGCGUAAGGUGCAUGGAUGACACAACGUAUCGCCAGCUAGAUAGAGAUCCCGGGUCUUUGAAAACCGUGUUCAUGGGACAUCGAAGGUGGCUUCGCGACGAUGACCCGUGGAGGAAACGCAAGGAUCUGUUCGAUGGUGAAACCGAACCCCGAAAACGCCCGUGUACGAGGAGCGGCGAGGAAAUAGACAAGCUGUUGAAAAAUUGGAAAGACUGCCCACUGCCGGGAAAGAAGCAAAAGGCGCCAGAGCCGGGAAAGAAGCGAAAGGCGCCAGAGCCGCUGCUGAAGGUAUGGAAAACAAGGUCUGUUUUCUGGGACUUGCCGUACUGAAAGAUCCACCGUGUGCCUCACAGCCUUGAUGUCAUGCAUAUCACGAAGAACGUGUGCGAGAGUCUGCUUGGUACCCUGCUCAACAUGCCAGAGAGGACCAAAGAUGGGCCGAAAGCAAGGGCAGACUUGAAAUCAAUGGGCAUCAGGGAGGAGCUUCACGCUAUAUAUGAUGAUGAUGAUGAUGAUGAUGAGGCGAAGCAGGACACAAAAAGUCGUCGCAAAGGCAAAAAGGCCAAGAAGACCGGAAAUGACUACCCUCCCGCGUGCUUCACUCUAAGUCAGGAGGAGAUCGAGCAGUUUUUCACCUGCCUCCUAGGAGUAAAACUUCCUUACGGUUACGCGGGGAAGAUAAGCAGAUACCUAGACCCAGCGAAGCAGAAGUUCAGCGGGAUGAAGUCUCACGACUGUCACGUGCUGAUGACGCAGAUACUUCUAGUUGCAAUCCGUGGGAUCAUGGACGCGCACGUCCGUGAAACGCUAUUUGGCCUAUGCAACUUCUUCGACGUCAUCUCUCGGAAGUCGAUUGGCGUGAGGCAACUCAGAAGGCUACAGGAAGAGAUCGUGGUGAUACUAUGCGAGCUUGAGAUGUACUUCCCGCCCGCAUUCUUCGACGUUAUGGUGCAUCUGCUGGUCCAUAUAGUGGAGGAUAUCAUCCAACUCGGGCCGACGUUCCUGCACAGCAUGAUGCCGUUCGAAAGGAUGAAUGGUGUCAUCAAAGGAUACGUUCGCAACAUGUCACGUCCAGAAGGAAGCAUAGCCAGGGGCUUUCUGACCGAAGAGUGCAUCUCCUACUUCACGAAUUAUCUAGGCAUCGAGAACCCCGUUGGUCUGCCCGUCAACAGGCACCUCGGCAGGCUCGCUGGAUGGGGUCACCGUGAGGGUCGCCGCGAAAUGCAUGUCGACUUCGAGGGUCGACUCGCCGACUUUGAAAGAGCAAACCUAGUCGCGCUACAACACAUAGACGUGGUCGAUCCUUGGGUGGUAGAGCACAAAACCUUUAUUAAAAAGACGUACAAUGACCGAGGCCAACAGAGGACGGACGGAGAUACACUCAAAGAGCACAACUCAUGUUUCACGCGUUGGUUCAAGCAUAAGCUUCUGUCGUACCCUUUACAUGAGGAUUCUUCCGCGGAAGAACAACUCAUAUUCGCCUUGUCACAGGGCGCCGAGCACAACCUGAUGACCUAUGAGGCGUACGAUAUCAACGGCUACACAUUCUACACCGAGGCCAAGGACAUGAAGAGCGAUGGUUAUCAGAACUCCGGGGUAACAAUGGAAUCCUACACCGGUAACGACAAGGACAGAUACUACGGAAGGAUCGAGGAGAUCUGGGAGCUGAGCUACGCUGGAGAGAAGGUCCCGAUGUUCCGUGUCAGAUGGGCCAAAAACGUCAUAAAAGAAGACCGGUAUUUCACCACCAUGGUUAUACCCGAAGCCAAAUCCAAGACCGCGGGCGCAAACGUCACCGCGAAAAAUGAGCCAUGGGUACUGGCUUCCCAAGUGGACCAAUGCUUCUUCAUUACCGACCCGCCAAAGCCCAGUCGUGUUGUCGUGAGGAGAGGCAAAAGGAAGAUCAUCGGAAUGGAUGGAGUAGCCAAUGAGAAAGACUUCGACAAGUACGGCGACCCGAGGAUCGAACAUGACGACGAUGAUGAAGUAGCAGCAUACACCACAAGAAGAAGCAGGACCACCCUACCUAAAGGACGUCCCUUCCACAGAAGAACUCCAUUUGCGAAAAAGAAGGGCAAGAAGAUUGUGAACAGAUAGCUAGCUAAGAUCGAUUGUAUUUAAAUCGUAGCCUUCAUUUCUCGAUUGUAUUUCAUGGGUACUUUUUGAACUAUCAUGAAUAUUUUUAAAUUUCAUGGACACUCGAUCUCGAUCCCCCUCCAUCUCGAUCGCUAUCCCACCUCGCCAGAUCCGGCCCCCCUCGCCGCCGAGCACCCCCCCAGUCCACCGGCCGCCGCCNNNNNNNNNNNNNNNNNNNNNNNNNNNNNNNNNNNNNNNNNNNNNNNNNNNNNNNNNNNNNNNNNNNNNNNNNNNNNNNNNNNNNNNNNNNNNNNNNNNNNNNNNNNNNNNNNNNNNNNNNNNNNNNNNNNNNNNNNNNNNNNNNNNNNNNNNNNNNNNNNNNNNNNNNNNNNNNNNNNNNNNNNNNNNNNNNNNNNNNNNNNNNNNNNNNNNNNNNNNNNNNNNNNNNNNNNNNNNNNNNNNNNNNNNNNNNNNNNNNNNNNNNNNNNNNNNNNNNNNNNNNNNNNNNNNNNNNNNNNNNNNNNNNNNNNNNNNNNNNNNNNNNNNNNNNNNNNNNNNNNNNNNNNNNNNNNNNNNNNNNNNNNNNNNNNNNNNNNNNNNNNNNNNNNNNNNNNNNNNNNNNNNNNNNNNNNNNNNNNNNNNNNNNNNNNNNNNNNNNNNNNNNNNNNNNNNNNNNNNNNNNNNNNNNNNNNNNNNNNNNNNNNNNNNNNNNNNNNNNNNNNNNNNNNNNNNNNNNNNNNNNNNNNNNNNNNNNNNNNNNNNNNNNNNNNNNNNNNNNNNNNNNNNNNNNNNNNNNNNNNNNNNNNNNNNNNNNNNNNNNNNNNNNNNNNNNNNNNNNNNNNNNNNNNNNNNNNNNNNNNNNNNNNNNNNNNNNNNNNNNNNNNNNNNNNNNNNNNNNNNNNNNNNNNNNNNNNNNNNNNNNNNNNNNNNNNNNNNNNNNNNNNNNNNNNNNNNNNNNNNNNNNNNNNNNNNNNNNNNNNNNNNNNNNNNNNNNNNNNNNNNNNNNNNNNNNNNNNNNNNNNNNNNNNNNNNNNNNNNNNNNNNNNNNNNNNNNNNNNNNNNNNNNNNNNNNNNNNNNNNNNNNNNNNNNNNNNNNNNNNNNNNNNNNNNNNNNNNNNNNNNNNNNNNNNNNNNNNNNNNNNNNNNNNNNNNNNNNNNNNNNNNNNNNNNNNNNNNNNNNNNNNNNNNNNNNNNNNNNNNNNNNNNNNNNNNNNNNNNNNNNNNNNNNNNNNNNNNNNNNNNNNNNNNNNNNNNNNNNNNNNNNNNNNNNNNNNNNNNNNNNNNNNNNNNNNNNNNNNNNNNNNNNNNNNNNNNNNNNNNNNNNNNNNNNNNNNNNNNNNNNNNNNNNNNNNNNNNNNNNNNNNNNNNNNNNNNNNNNNNNNNNNNNNNNNNNNNNNNNNNNNNNNNNNNNNNNNNNNNNNNNNNNNNNNNNNNNNNNNNNNNNNNNNNNNNNNNNNNNNNNNNNNNNNNNNNNNNNNNNNNNNNNNNNNNNNNNNNNNNNNNNNNNNNNNNNNNNNNNNNNNNNNNNNNNNNNNNNNNNNNNNNNNNNNNNNNNNNNNNNNNNNNNNNNNNNNNNNNNNNNNNNNNNNNNNNNNNNNNNNNNNNNNNNNNNNNNNNNNNNNNNNNNNNNNNNNNNNNNNNNNNNNNNNNNNNNNNNNNNNNNNNNCCCGCCGCCCCGACGCCGCCUCGACCCCGCCCCGACGCCGCUGCCCCACCUCGACCCCGCCCCGUCCACACCACCGUCGACCCGCCUCCCUCGACGCCACGGCGCAGCAGGACCUAGACUAGACGCCCAAGGUACGACCACCUCCUCCUUACUUCUCCAUUCCGCAAGUCCAUAGCCUCCUCUCACGUGCUUGCUUCCUUCUCCAUUCCACUGAUUCUGGUCAGUGUGUGUAUGCUUACUGAUGGCAAAUAACAAAGUUGAAUCAUAUUAGUUUUAGAUUCGUUGAAAUAUUAAGUCCUUAGUUGAAAGGUUGCAAUGAGCAGUUUGCAUUGUCCAUUUGUGCCAUUUUCUGCUUCUAAUUUUGUUGGUUCUUCUAGCAAGCAUAUUCCAUUGCUCCUGAUUGAAUUCCCUUACCAUUUUGUCUAUAUGUGGUUCUUUACUUCGGUGAUGUAAUCAUUUUAAAGUUUGACCUAGAUACUAUAAUUAAUAAACAGUUGUGAAUAGUAUAUAUCGAGAGGACUCCACUAUGCAACGUUUGACAUGCUCAUCACAUACUGUUAUUUAUAGUGAACCUUCUUUACUUGUAUUUACAGGGAAACAAUUGGUACAAUUCUUGCCCGGGGCCACAGCCGUGUACCUGUGUAUUCAGGAAACCCUAGAAAUGUUAUAGGUCUCCUGUUGGUAGGUAAAAAUUAUGCCAUGGAGAAUUACUCGAUGAUCUUUCUUUAUGUACUUUACUAACUUAGAACCAUUUAAAUAUUAUUUAGGUCAAAAGUCUUCUGACAGUUCGUGCUGAAAUAGAGACGCCAGUUAGUGCUGUUUCCAUUAGGAGGAUUCCAAGGUAUAUACCCCAAUUCUAUUUAAAUAUAAAUUGGAAAAAUCUCUUUCAAAAUUUGGUACAAUUGCUUGAAUUUUUGGAGUACACGAAUUAUGGGCUAGUGAUGAUCAUAUGCACUAGUUACUAGUAGAUGCUUCUCGACCCAAUUUGAGCAGCAGAGCACUAGCACCAAGCUCUGGGUUUUGUUCGGUACACUCUGAGAUGUAGAUGCCUAAAAGAUAAACAUGUUGUUUGUCUACAAAAAAAACUUAAUUACUAUUAUGGGCUAGUGAUGAUCAUAUGCACUAGUUACUAGUAGAUGCUUUUUUAUCCUCAGAUUGGCGUCUAGUGUUCAUAGAAAUAUAUGAUUAUCUUUGUUGUAUAAACUGACUGGCUGCCAAGUUACAACUUACUGGUGAAAGUUCAUUUUUUUAUCAGUGGCAUAUGAGUGGCAGAAAAGUGGCUAGCCUCGUCUGCAUAUAUGAGCAUAUAGAUCAACAAAAAAUAAACCCAUUCGGCAAGAACAUUUAUGCACCUAUUUACUAGAAGAAUGAAUAAAUGAAUGUCAGGGCUAGAGAUCAUUACUGUUUGUUAUCCAGGAAAUACAAAAGUUUGGAUUGUUGAAUGCAUUCUGAAUUCUAGCUAUACAAAAGUUUUUUCCUUCUGAAAUGUGUUUUUCUUCUUCUUCCUGUUUUGAGUAGUUUGCGUAAGUUUUCUGAAAUGAUGAUGUAUUUUUCUUAAUUCAGCGAACCGUGAGAUGGACUUAGAAGAAGAAACUGUCUCCUGAUUGCAGUUGAUUAAUUAGUAUAUAUGUUGUAGACUUGUAGCAUACCUACCUCUAUAUGGUUUUAUAUUUCAACUUGAUUUCUGAAUAUUCCAAACCACACGCGAAGUCCUUACUUACAAGAAGAAGUUUCUCUUCAUAACAGUGAACAAAACUACUGUCAAUCAGCUCAGUUCUAGUGCUGUUGGAUUUUUUUUAAUUGGCUUCUUGCAGUUUUGAAAAUUCAGUUUAUUCGGUUACUGAAAAUUCAGUUAAUUCAGUUAGGCACACAAAUUUCAGAACUUUUGUGUGCCCUAGUACUUGGUGUUUGUAGAAAACCAGGAGUGUCAAUGGGACUAGAAUUCACUUGUUCUUAUAUGGGUUUGUAAAACUUGUUCAUGUAUUGAACUACUAAUGCCUUGUGAUGCUCUGAAUUACUUGUGAUGCCUCUGAAUUACUUGUGAUCACAUUGAGAAAGACUUGUAAAGAUGAUGAUCAUCUUUAACAGAAAACAAUUUGUGAUGAUUUUGCUAGUUUGCUGGGUUUUGUCUCCGACCAUCGUGUCGUGAUGAUUUUGCAGGUACCCCGAGAGGCCCUUGAGUUUGCCGGAAUGUCGAUUAACUUUCGUUCAUGCAAAUUCGGGUACUCCAUAUGUCCUAUUUUCAGCAAAGGUCAUGCUGAAAUUUUCCGUGAAUUUUAGCAUGACUUUGCUAAAAAUAGGACAUAUGGGGUACUUGUGACUAAUGCAUACGCCGGGGUAUCUUAGUAGUUAAUAAAGUAGGAUCAAGUGCCCCGGCGUACUUGUGACUAAUGCAUGGCUUUUAGGGUGCCUCGGUGUCGAUAAAAACCGAAAUGAUGAAAAGUUAGGCUUUUAGGGUGCCUUGGCGUCGAAAAACCCUCAAUGAUAAAAGCUUAGAUUUUAGGAUGCCUCGGUGUCGACAAACCCUAAAUGAUGAGACCAUGAUCUUGUUCCUUGACAAUAACCAACUUUUUGACCAAACUUUGUUUCUAUUUAGAGAGAAACAUGGCCCACAACGAUGAGGCCGGGGGUUCGGGCGGCAAGGCAUUCUGGGAGCUGUCCCAGGAGAUGGAGGAACAACCUCACUUGUAUGAGGCCGCCGCCUUCCCCACCGAUCCUGAGACCACGGAUGGUGCCGCCGAGGAUGACCACACUGAUGCCACCACUGAUGGUGCCGCCGAGGAUGCCACCACUGAUGAUGGCGGCGCACGCACAGAUAGCAGCCAGCCGAAGAGGCAAUGGAAGGACCGGCGCCCGAUCGUGCUCCACACCCUCAAGGAGGAAGUUACUGAAGUGGACUCCAACGGGAAUCCAACGGCGCCCGAACGAAUAGUCAAGGGGUACUUGCUUCAGCUCGGGUGCAUUGUCCGGAGCACCGUCUCGAUCAACACCGAGAACCUGAGGCAUCCUGACCGAGGGAAUUUGCGCCACCUCCUCUUCACGAAGCUGCACGAACGAUACAAGUUCCCCGCUGAAUUCGAAAACACAAGCCUCAAAGGGAAUAAAGUGAACAAUGCUGCCCUCACGAAGAUGAGCAAGGCCCUGUCUACUUGGAAAAGCAAUGUGAAGAGAAUGAUCGAGAAAGGUGAGAGUUAUGAGAAGAUCAAGGAGAAAAAUCCUUCGAUCACCGAAGAUGACUACAACGACUUCAAGAUCAAUUGCUCGAGCACCGCAAGCUCCCAAUCAAGUGAGUGGGGGAAACAAAUGCGGGAGCUGAACAUAGGGGAACACACACUCGGUCCCGGCGGUUACAGAGUGGCGGAGCCUAUAUGGGACAAGGAGGAGGCGGACCGUGCCGAGCAAGGCCUACCACCCCUCUUCGAUAAAUACGGUGACAAGCAGACCAGGAACUUUGUCAGGGCCCGGUACAAGAAGGACCCGAAAACAAAGGAGCUUACCACGGAUCCGAAGACCAGGCGGCUUGAGCUUGUUCUGGUAAGGAAUACACCCCCGCGUAAUUAGCUCCAUAUGGUUGCAUUCUAAUUAAUGAAGCCGAAUUUCUAAAUGGUUCACAUUCCUUCCGCAGGCGACUGAAAGCAGUAGCGCGGGGUCGACUAAGAGCAACCCUUGGGACACCACUCUAAAUAGGGGGUUGAAUAUAAUGAAGAACAAGGAUAAGCUCAGUAAGCCGACGUCAGCUGGUCGUGUGGCCGGCAAAGGCUUGUCGACAAAAUGGGGGUCAUACUAUACCGCUGGUGUGCGGAAGGAGAAAAAGACCAGCUCGGAAAGCCAGGCGCGAGAGGUUCAAGAACUCAAGGCACAGGUGGCGCGGAUUCCGGAGAUUGUACAAGAGCAAGUGGAACAACGACUCGGAGCGACGAUCACCGCCCUUGUGCCUACCUUGAUCUCGGGGUUGAGUGCGUGUAUUGCGGGCGGCCAACAGGGGCCGCCCCCGAUUCCUAGCUUCACGGCCAGCAACUCGCAUAAUGCGAUGGCGGGGCCAUUGGUGCCUCCGGCGGAGGCGGCAUUGGUGUCUCCGACGCCGGCACGGGAGCUUAAUGCACCCGGGUGUACGCCGGCUGGCACCUCUUCAGCAAGCGGCCGCUCCGUCAACUGCACGCCCGCCGUUGGCGGUGCCUCGACAUUAGCCGAGCUCGACGCCAUCAUCACGGUAACUAAUUAAGCCUCUCUCGGCCGAGGACUUCAUCUCCUUGCCUUUGACUGGGCAUCCCUGACGCCCUACAUGUUUUCGCAGGGUGCCGCCGACGUUCCGUGCACUCUCCUCCACUUCGUGAACAACGAGUUGGUCGAUGUCGCCAAGGGCAAAAUCGUUCAACCGAGCAACCCCUUGUUCCACGGUACCUAGAUGCCACCCAACUUGUUUAGGGUUCAACUGGUUCGGGUGCUGCCAGGCUGCGACGACUUGUUACCUCCGAUUCGACCCGUCGGGGCCGACGAUGAUGACGUGAUGACCCUCAGCGCCUGCCUGAGCUGGCCCCUGCUUUGGCCGAAGAGCUAGAUUCGUUUGGGGGCGGGGGACACCACCCCAAAGACAACACCGCCAGUCGUGCCGGCGCCAAGUCGGCCCCAUGGCAAGACCGCCGUAACGGUGCCGGACAUCCCUAUGCCACUGGAUCCAAACAUGCAUAUGGCACAGGAUCAGAACGACGACGACGACGACGAUGAUACAUUUGGCAACGUCGAUCAGUACUUUGCCGAGCAUGGGUACGAUGGCGACUUCAUGGGGCCUCCUUCUCAAGAACCAAACCCAACAAAAGACGUGUGCGAUCUAGCUCGUACCGCGGAGAAGCCAAGUUGCAACAGGCGCCGUCUGGCGUUCAGCUCUCAGGAGACGCCUCCAGCUGCCGACUUCACCGAGCCUCAGAUAGGCGAGGUGCGAAAUAUUAUGAGCCCCAACACACUCAAGAAGGCGGUCUGUGAGCAGAACUCGGUCCCAUUACAGGAGAAGAAGAAGGCACGCAAAAGAAAGACUAAGAAGGGUGCGAGCCAGCCGGCACCGGGUACGAUCCGUGCUCAGGACGGGCCACCUUCACCGCAGGAUAUCUCGAGGAGGGUGCAUGUGGCGGGUAGGGCGAUGCUACCGACAAAUAUGCUCAAUGCUGCAACCGGUGCUAUGCGGAGUCUGCAUGACAGUGUUCUUGCUUUGGAGAAGCGGCGUCUCAGGGAGAAGGAUGUGGCAUACCCGGUUUUCGCGGCCAAGGUGCCAGAGGGCAAGGGCUUUGUGGAUAACUCCAUCGGGCGUACGAUCGUCCUGUGUUUUGAUGACAUCCACGCUAUGUUGAACCUUCAUCCGCUGCACUACACCUUCGUUCGGCUAUUUUCGCUGAGUAUGGAGAUGCGGAUCAUUCGCGACAAGACCCCGGACAUCGUGAUAGUCGACCCCUUCUACAUGCGUGCCAAGAUCUUGGGCAGCGCUGGGGACCGGCAAGUCGCGAGUUCUUACCUCGAAGGCGUCAUUCUGGCAAACCAAGAUUAGGAUAACUUCCUUGUGCCUUACUUUCCCGAGUAAGUCCUCCCCUCAACCGGCCCGUAACAUAUGAAUUCUUACUUUUCGAUCGUUUUUCUUUUAACAUUCCGUGUUUUCUGCAGUGACACACGUUGCACGCUCAUCCUCCUAAGCCCCAAAUAUUCCAUGGCCACGUAUUUCGACCCGGACCGUCAGUCGAACGUAGACUACACAAAUGUCAAGAAGGUUCUUGAUGAUGUUCUCCCCGGCUACGCCCAAUCUGGAGGCACCUUCACCAGGCCUAUUCGUAAGUACGGGAAGCACGUGUUCUCCCACAAUACGACGUUCUGCUGCGUCAAGCAGCCGCCUGGCGGUCAGAAGGGUGCCUACUACGCCAUCCAUCACAUGCGGGCGAUCGUACGGGACCAUCAUCAACUUCUGCUACCGAGUAAACUCAAAGAUUGGGCCGCGAGCGUGUCGGCAAUCCAGGACGCGGACCUCCGACAAGAAUUCUUUCGCAUCCAGUCGGAGUUUGCGGAAAUCAUCCAUCAAGAUGUCCUUCGUACCUCGGGGCAGUUCUACCUCAGAAAUCAACCGUCCAACAGUGACAUCGACACAAUGCUACAAAUGCAGGAUGACAACGCCCGUUCUUUCAUGACUCCCACGAUAGACGGCGGCUUCAUCCACGCUCCGGUCCCUUGAGUCGAGUUGUCUAGUUCUGAAACAUCGAUUGGCUCAUGUUGUAAUUAAACUUUAAUGAACUUGUAGUAUGUCUCUUUGGUUUCGAGAGUCGUUCAACUUAGAUGUAAUCGAUGCUAUUAAUGUCUUCCUUUUCUCUUCCGAUCUUUCUGUUGCCUAAUUAUAUAUUGCUUAUGUAUUGUCUGUGAAUUGGUACUAACGUUUCGUUUGGCUAGUGCAUAGCGAUGCCGACGUAUGUCGUGUACAAGGGUAAGGUUCCCGGAGUCUACGAUGACUGGGAGGAGUGUCGGAGACAGGUUCACCGAUUCAGCGGUAACAGUUACAAAGGGUACACCACUAGGGCCCAGGCCGAAUCUAGAUACGCCCGCUAUCUAGCGGGAGAGGGGAGGGAGCGUUGGAGGAACCGGAUGAAGACGAGUUUCAUCGUGAUGAUGCUCAUCGUGAUGACCGCAGCUCUCUUCUAUGUGAUGGUAGUUUAGAUGAUCGAUAUCGACUUGUAAUGUGAAGACAAACUCGCUACUCGCGGUCUCGAGACUUGUAAUAUAAUGUUCUAUCUUUGUUCGGUCUUUUUAAUUCGGAGACUAAUAUGAUGAAUUGUAUUCGGAGACUAAUAUGAUGAAUUGUAUUCAAAGACUAAUCUUCUAUUGUAUUCGAUGAAUCUGUUGUUGAUGUGUGCUGUCUAUAUUUUGUCAAACUAUACAUUUUGUAACCUGUGCAAAAAACAGAAAAUAAAAAGAUAAAAAAAACCUAAUAUUCAUACUAAUGGCGCAUCACAGGACAGUGCGCCAUUAGUAUGACAGUGCAUACUAAUGGCGCAUCACUGGGUAGUGCGCCAUUAGUAUGCUGCGGUUACUAAUGGCGCAUCCAGUGGUGGUGCGCCAUUAGUAUGCCAAAGCACCUGGGUAUACAUGGCCCCUGGGAGGCAUACUAAUGGCGCACGCUGGCCUAUACUAAUGGCGCACCCGCGGUGCGCCAUUAGUAUACCAGAUACUAAUGGCGCACCAGGUGGUGCGCCAUUAGUAAAAAUUACUAAUGGCGUGCUGUUAAUGGCGCACCACAGAUGCGCCAUUAAUGGCCAUAUUAGGUGCGCCAUUAGUAGGGGUUUUUCUAGUAGUGUUGGUUCGAAUACGACCUAUGUUUGAACAGGAAGCCCCCUAGUGAUCAUACGGUUUAACGGCUAGAUUCGAAUACGAUCAUAAGCCGGAUCAAACAGGUCAAGCUAAAUUCGGAUACGAUCAGCCCCCAAGUGAUCAUGCGAGAUGAUAAUGAUAAUAACAAUGACAUAUUACCUUUGAGGAUGAAAAAAGGACAGAGGUCCUGCUUUAUUAUUUAUAUAAUAUAUACAUCGUCAAAAUAUGUACAUCAUGAGAGCCGGUGGCUCAAGUGUAGUAAGGCAGAAGAUGAGCGAUAUUCCACGGCUGGCGGGUCUUCUCCUCCGACUUACGUGAGUCUUUGUGCUCUCGAACAUCGAUAAGGUAGUAUGACCCGUUGUUCAAGUUCUUACUGACCACAAAGGGACCUUCCCAAGAUGGGGAUAACUUGUGUGCAUCAGUUUGAUCCUUGAUGAGCCGGAGCACCAAAUCACCUUCCUAAAAGGUUCUGGACUUAACUCGGCGGUUGUGAUAGCAGCGCAGGUCAUGUUGGUAAAUCGCCGAGCGAGCUGCUGCCAAGUCACGCUUUUCAUCUAACAGGUCAAGGGCAUCCUGAUGCGCCUGUUCAUUGUCCGCCUCAACAUAAGCCGCCACGCGGGGCAAGUCAUGACGGAUGUCACUAGGGAGAACCGCCUCAACUCCGUAGACCAUGAAGAAAGGCGUAUAACCCAUAGACCUGUUGGGAGUAGUGUUGAUGCUCCAUAUCACAGAGGGUAACUCCUCAACCCAACAACCCGGCAUCCGCUGCAAGGGAUCAAAAGCCGAGGCUUGAUGCCUUUCAAGAUCUCCUGAUUGGCUCUCUCAGCUUGAACCAUUGGAUUGGAGGUGAGCCACUGAUGAAACAUCAAGUCGAAUAUGCUCACGUUGACAAAAUUCUUGCAUGGCACCUUUAGACAGAUUAGUGCCAUUGUCAGUUAUAAUGUUGUGCGGAAAGCCAAAGCGAAAUAUCACCUUCUUCAUAAACUGAACCGCCAUAGCUGCAUCACACUUACUAACUGGCUCUGCCUCAACCCACUUUGUAAAUUUAUCAACCGCCACCAAAAGGUGGGUCUUUUUAUCUUUGGACCUUUUGAAAGGCCCAACCAUGUCAAGACCCCAGACUGCAAAUGGUCAAGUAAUUGGAAUCAUCCUCAACUCUUGAGCCGGCACGUGAGCCCGUCUUGAGAACUUCUGACAGCCGUCACAUUUACUGACCAGGUCCUCUGCAUCAGCAUGAGCCGUCAACCAAUAAAAUCCAUGACGGAAAGCCUUAGCCACAAGGGAUUUUGACCCGACAUGAUGGCCACAAUCCCCUUCAUGAAUCUCACGUAGAAUUUCUUGGCCUUCUUCAGGGGAGACACAACGCUGAAACGCCCCGGUAACACUGUGAUGAUGCAACUCGCCAUUGGCAAUUGUCACUGACUUAGACCGCCGGGUUAUCUGCCUGGCCAAGGUUUCAUCCUCAGGCAACUCACCCCGGGUCAUGUAAGCCAAGUAUGACACUGUCCAAUCUGGGAUGACGUGAAGAGCCAUCACCAAUUGUGCUUCUGGGUCAGGAACAGCCAAGUCUUCCUCUGUAGGUAACUUGACAGAAGGGUUAUGCAGAAUAUCCAAGAAAGUAUUAGGCGGCACCGGCUUAUGCUGAGAGCCUAGCCGGCUUAAGGCAUCAGCCACCUCGUUCUUUCUGCGGUCAAUGUGCUCCACUUGGUAACCCUUGAAAUGUCCAACAAUGACAUCAACCUCACGGCGAUAAGCCGCCAUGAGAGGAUCCUUGGAAUCCCACUUGCCAGUUGAUACUUGUUGAGCCACCAAAUCCGAAUCACCAAAGCACCUUACCCAGUUUAAACUCAUCUCCUUAGCCAUGCGAAGACCAUGGAGCAAGGCCUCAUACUCAGCUGCAUUGUUAGUACAGGGAAACAUCAACCGUAGCACAUAACAAAAUUUGUCACCUCGAGGGGAAGCUAACACGACUCCAGCCCCCGAGACCUCCAAUUGCCUGGACCCGUCAAAGUGAAUAGUCUAAUAUGUGUUAUCCGGCUUUUCUUCAGGUAUCUGCAGCUCUGUCCAAUCGUUGAUGAAAUCCACCAGUGCUUGAGAUUUGAUAGCAGUGUGUGGCACAUAUUUUAAACCAUGAGGCCCAAGUUCAAUGGCCCACUUGGCGAUUCGUCCAGCCCUGCUCCAACAGCCCGCCGCACGCGGACGUCUCCUCCCAACUACCCGCCGCCACCGCCGCCGACCAGAAGAUACACGCUGUCGUCUCCUACAAACUACCCUCCUCCACCCCCGUCGUCGUUCAGCCGCUCCAGCUCCAGCUACUACACGCCGACGUACUCCCCUCCGCCGGCCAGCAGCUCCAGCGACUACCCGCCGGGCGGCUACUACUCCUACUACGCGCCGCCACCCCGGCAGCCGGAUGGCGGGUAAGGUUACCCGCCGCUCGACAACUACUACAACUACGACCAGUCGCGCGGCGGGCCUUACUACGUGCCCAACUACGCGCCCACCACCUUCAACGAUGAGAACCCCAACGCUUGCUCCAUCCAGUGACUCAUGACGACCCCAUCCACGUCCUACGCCACCUUCAGUUUCAGUUUUAUUAGCCCACCCUCCUAUACACGAUAUGUGCAAGCAGAACGCAUGACGUGCUAUCGUUCAGUUCCGACUAAUGAUAUAGUGUACAAUAUAUAAGGCUGCAACUCAUCAAUAAUAAAAAAGCAUCUGGAUGAUAGCCGUCCGAUUGUUCUAUAUUGGUUGGGAAUUCUGUGUGCUGGACUGCUGGGCCUCAAUUAGAGUACGAAGUAUUUUUCUGGGAGAUUAGAGGACACCGAAUUAAUUGAUCAUAUGGAUGCAAAUAUCAACGAAUUUUUUUUUGCGGGGGUAAAGGGAGUUUCAUUACAUAUGAAUAGAGUUACAGUCGAGGGGCCAAAUGUCCUCGAUACAUGGUGGAGCCGAGCCAAGCCACACGGCCGUAGCUCGUUCGGACCGGCUAUAUUUCGCCAGACGAUCAGCAACUCUAUUUUGAAGUCUACUAAUCUUUUGUGAAGAAAACUCCCUACUACCAAGCAGAUCUUUGAUUUCCAGAACUACAUGACCAUACCGCGAUUGAACCAACGCACCAUUUGUCAAACUAGACAGGGCUUCCGAGGAGUCCGUUUGCACGAUCACUGGAAGAUCGGAAUGCUGAAUGGCCAAAGCCAUACCCUGCAUGAUCGCAUGUAGCUCAGCUUCGAGUGGACCGUUGCAAUGAAAGAUAUAACGAUACGCGGCCAUCAGAAUCUCCCCUUUUUCGUUCCUGAGCACCAUCCCCGCAGCAGCAGAGCCAUCCUCUUGGAGAAACGAGCCAUCAACCGAGAGCGCCACGGUGCCCUGCGCUGGGGCUGGCCAUGGAACUGCAGGACGCUCCACCGAGAGCCUCGGCCUGUCUAUAUCCACAGUGGUCAUCUUACCCUUUAGGAUAUCUUCAGUGGAAUAGCGACCAGCUAGCUUGAUCGAUUUAUAGUAGCUAUCCAGGUACUUGACGGUGGAAAGCACUGGGGGGGCUAGCUUCCCAUGGGUCAUAUCAUUCCGCAACUGCCAAAUCCUCCAAAAAAGCAGGAUGAUCAAGUCACGGACAUCUUCAGAGCACCUAGACAGCAAGGAAACCAGCCAUUCUUUUCAAUCAUAGAUGAUAGCCUCGUCCCCAGGCAGCGGCCAUCUUCGAUAUAUAGAGCAAUGUCAAAUGGGUUGAUAUUUGUGCAUGGCGAGAGUGGAUGUAUCCACAUUAUGAUCACACACAAAGAUGGGGAAGUUGCUGACCUUUAUGUUGAAUAUGGUACAGAGGAGGAAGAUCAUUUUUUUCCUGGUAAGUGCACUCCCUCUGUAAACAAAUAUAAGAGCGUUUAGAUCACUAAAAUAAUGAUCUAAACACUUAUAUUUCUUUAGGAGGGAGUAAUAUGUGAAUACAAGUGGAUAACAAUUAUAUCCAGCCUCUGCAACAUCACAAAAUCGUGAACCAGGUCUAAACAUACCCGUAAUCUGAGAAAGCAAAUCUAGGUUUUCACUUUCCUUGUGAUGGGUCUGGCUUAGGGAGGAACAUGCCAAGUAUCUGCUUGGGAUUAUUGUCGGACUGUAUACUCAGGACACCAGGGAUCAAGGAUACCCUAUAUUUUUAAGUUCGGCCAUAUGGUUUACAUCAGCAAUCAUUAGUAAGGUACUUGAAGUCCUUUCUCCAACAGAAUUACAGAAGGCAAUGGACGACCAGUUGUGUUUUUGUCCAUCGAUUAUCACAUUCUUUCCUGCUACAAUAGUUGUAGACCAUUCAUAAGAUAUUCCAUGCCUUCUCUUUCUUCUGCAGAUUGUUUAUGUAGUGCAUUAAGCACAUAUGUUUUUAUACACCUCAACUUGUUCACUAACUGAAUAACUGAGGGUCCAGGAACCAAUACCAUAUUGCAAAGUUGUCCUAGACUUUCAUUUUCUAACUGGAACAACACAUCGGCUAUCUGGUUCCCCCUCUAUUUCUCCUUCUUAUGGCUUCAUGGUCUGACCGUUUUCCAUUGUUGGUUGUGAAAACAGCUUGGAUUCAAAAUACUUCAUAAAAUAGCGUGACUGCAACUGUAACUAAUUGGGAUGCUGAGGGUACAAGUUGCACCUUUGUAUUGGAGGAGAACCCACUUGUAGAUUUUGUUGAACUCUUUGUUGAGCUGCCGGAUACUUGCACAGGCCUUCAAUAUUGCAAUGUGUUGAGCAGAGUUAUCAGCGGAGCACUUGAAAUGGUCCAUCCUCUAUACUGCCAUCUUUAUAUUCUCUUGUCAAAUAGUCAAUGAAUAUAUACUUCACAAAAUGUAACUGGGAUCCCUGAGCUCACGCUUCUAUAAAACUAACAUUGAAUCAAUAAUUGCAUAGUAAUAUAAAUGAUUUCCUCCAUGUGAAUUUCAUUUCCACAUCUUAAGAGUAUCUCCAAUAGAUAAUGUAUUUUACAUCAUUAGAAAAUGAUUGGAGUAAAAUAUAUAUCAACAAAAGUGCUUUUUACAUCACCAAAAACGUCCAACUCCAACAGAGGAUGUAAAAUAGGGCAGCCACAUUACAGCCGCUCCAAUAGAUGAUAUAAAAAUAGGCCACCAGCCGCUUGAUAGCAGCACAACAUCAGCCAAUAGCAGCUAUCAAGUGCAUAUGUUUGAACCAAAAUCACCCCAAAUUAAUUCAUAAACAAACUUAACAAGAAUUUCAUCAAUCCACAAUAUUAAAUUAUUAUAUAAUUCAUCAAAUCCACAACAUUAAAUGCAACACAAAUGCAACAAAUUCUUGCACAUUACAACAAACAUAGAGAUGAAACUAGGAGACUUGUUCCCCAUGCCAUGUCCACCACUCCUCCAUGAUAUCUUUUUAAAGAUUACUGUGUGUAAGCGUCUGAUUCAGUUUUCCUUUCUACUCGGCCAAACGCGUAUUCCCAUGAGGUCAUAGAAUGUGCAAUUCAAAUUUGGUCCAUGCUCAUUCUGGAUGAUCAUGCUGUGCAUGAUCACACAAGCAGUCAUUAUAUACCAAAGAUUCUCCUGAUCCCAAAAUUUAACCGGUCAUCGCACAAUAGCAAAUUGAGAUCGCAAAAUCGCAAAAGCCCUCUAUACAUCUUUUCUAGCCGCCGCUUGAGCAUUCUGAAAAUAAAGUUCUUUCUUACCUUGGGGGCUUGAGAUUAGCUUCAUGAAUGUAGCUCACUUCAUACAGAUCCCAUCCGAACGGUAAUACUCAUAUAUAGUUGUAUGUGCAACCGUUUACCUGGACGGUCACCAGUCGAUCUUCUUCAUUGGCUAACUUUGCAAAAAGAGGUGAUCGAUUGAGCACAUUGAUACCAUUGCGUGAUCAUGUCUCCCUAUCAGCCAUGGCCUCAAGAAUGAUGAUGGCAUGCUUGUUGCAUCCUUUGAAUUGUCCAUGCCAUGUAGUACAAUUCUUCCACUUCUAGUGCAUGCAAUCCAUAGACCCAAGCAUACUAGAUAACCCACGGGCUUUGUUCAUCUCCAAAAGCCUCUGAGUGUCCUAAAUAUUGGGUGCUCUCAAGUAUUAUGGACCAAACACUUCUACCAUAAUCCUUAUAAAUUGUUUGACAUAAAUGAUAGAAGUGCUCUCUGCCAUUACUAAAUUGUCAUCUAUGUAAUCUAUUGGAACACCAUAGGCCAUCAUGCGCAAUGCCAAGUGCCCUUCUGUUCAGUCCUAUGUCUGAGCAAACCAACGCAAUUCCUCCUUUGCUCAAAGGUUUGGUCAUUUUGCUUCACAAAAUAGCAAAUAUGAAUAAACAAAUCAUUGGACCUUCUGAAACAGCGACAUAAGUACCUCUCCGUAAAAACUAGCGGACUACCAAAGUAGUUGUGCAUCAAUCUUUCGUGCGACUACUCAUUCUCUCUGUAUGUAAUCAUGGCCAAACACGGAACCGCCAUGCUUCGGCCUCUUCCUCUUGUGCAUCGCUAUGAGCAAAGCAGUGUCAUCAUCCUUGGUCAAGUCUAAUUCCUCAUCCUAUGGGGAAUUGUCCCAAACAGAGAAGUCCCAUGAGCUCAUCUAUAAUACGAAAAUCUGCAUCAAACUACGUCUGUGCGCACAAUAAAAAACCGACAAGUUAAACAAAAAAUUAGCUUGGGCAAAUUUUAUCGAACACCUUGUGUGCGACGAGGAACAAUCCGGACGGUUGCAUGUUGGUGGGAUUGCACGGUUGGGUCUCCUACUCCUUCUUGGCGGUUGUUGGCUGCUGGCUGAGCCUAAUUCUGUCGACGCAACUGCGGCGACGCGGACCGAACGGCAGCUCGGCUCAGUCGCGGUGGACGCGUGGCAGCCCGGUGUUACUCUGGCAGCUAGUACUCUUACCCCAGGCAACGACUACGAGUUAUGGGAGCCAUCACAACCUGAAUGGACCGAAAAGCACCGCGCGGCUGCGGAUUCAAAUCGGCCCGUCAUCGAGGCCUCCGGGUGUGCGGCUGGCGGUGGGGAUGGACGGUGGCCAGUCGCAACAUGGUCAGGAGUGGACGGACAGAUGGCGGUGGGCAGACGACCAUGGUGAAAUCGCUGGCGGUAGAAGGCAGGUGGAGGAGCGGCUGCGGCACGGGAACGUUCCAGACCGCAGUUGAGGGUGCGCGCGCGUGUGGACAGCUGCGUUUUGCUCUGGCGGCUGGUGAUGCAAAUUUUAAUCCCACCAGUUUCAUACUCCUUCCGUCCCAUAAUGUAAGACGUUUUUAGCACUACAGUUUAUUUCCGACAUCCGCCUCUCCAGCUAGCUUAAGCAGCAUCACGGUGUAGGUUUCCGUGAAGGCGGACGUCACAUCAGUCCGUGAUGACGCUUACGAUCGAGAUGCGGGUGAAGCUUACCAAGAUGGUUCCUCGGCAUGGAUGACGACUAGUUCCGUCGCCGGGGGCAGCUCUCUGGGCAUGGUGGUCCUCGUCUGGUUUCCCCGUUUUGCUUUCCCUGUGGCUGCAAUUCUGGCAUGACUGUCAUGAGGUACAAUUUUAUGGCUCUAUUGUGUAGUGUCUAUGUAGUGCAGCCUUGUAGAGAUCUUGUGCAGGGCUUUCCUGCUUUGGAACAGUUUGGUAUAUUUGGUCAGAGCAAAUCGUUGAUGGUGGUUAUAUGUCGUGUUGUGUUGCUCGAAAAUGAAAUAAUUUUCCUCUGAUUAAUUAGCUGGCAAAUCUUUUGGAACAACUUCUUUUGUUUCUGUUGAGAAUUAUCUUUUGGGAACAACUGGUCUGAAAAAAGAAGUCCAUAGGCCAAUUACUCGUCUCAGCUGCCCAGCAGCUUGUUUUCAAGAUUAUGGGCCCUGAUGUCCUCCGGAAGAUUACUACUAAAGUGUGGAAUAGUUGUGAUUCUCAUAUUGAUAUUCACACCUUGAGGUAUCAAACCCUCCCAAACUGUGCAUGGUUUGACAUGGUUAGCAUCGUGUCACUAGGAGAAAAGGGGACAAAGGUCCAGACCGGGUCAGCCCAUUAGUCCCGGUUCAGUACAGAACCGGGACCCAUGGGGGCAUUGGACCCGGUUCGUGAGCCCCGGGGGCCGGCCGGGCCACGUGGGCCAUUGGUCCCGGUUCGUCUGGACCUUUUGGUCUCGGUUGGUGGGACGAACCGGGACCAAUGGGCCUCGCUCCUGGCCCGCCUUUGGUCCCGGUUCAUGCCAUCAACCGGGACCAAUGAUGUGCCUAUAUAUACCCCCUCUCUUAAGAGCAGAGCACACUGCUCUGUUUUUACAUAGUUUUAAUGUAUGGUUUAAUUAAUUUAGAUGCUCUGUAGAGCUUUAUGUUGUUAGAUGAGAACUAUGUAUGUACUUUGGUUUUAAUGUGAUGGUGAACUUCUAUUAAUUUGGUCACUUAAUUAUCUAUUCAUGAGGUUCUGUAAUGAUUUUUGACACACUUGUUUAUAAUGCACGCAGAUGAACCGGCAAUGGAUGUACGGUGACAGACACACCUCCGAGUACAUUAAUUGUGUGCAUGAUUUUCUCGAAGUGGCCGAGGCAAACAAGCAGAAUGGUUUUAUGUGUUGUCCAUGCCCUAUAUGUGGGAAUACGGAGUCUUACUCUGACCGGAAAAUCCUUCACACCCACCUACUUUACAAGGGUUUCAUGCCACACUAUAAUGUUUGGACGAGGCAUGGAGAAAUGGGUAUUAUGAUGGAAGACGGCGAAGAAGAAGAGUACGAUGACAAUUAUGUGCCCCCUGAAUACGGUGAUGCUACUGAACAUCAAGAGGAACCAGAUGAUGUGCAUGAUGAUGCUGCAAUGGGCGAAGCUGCUGAAGAUCAAGAGGAACCAGACGAUGUGCCCGAUGAUGAUGAUCUCCGCCAGGUCGUUGUCGAUGAAAGGACGCAAUGGGAAAGUCAAAAGGAGAAGCUGAAGUUCGAUCGCAUGUUAGAGGAUCACAAAAAAGGGUUGUACCCCAAUUGCGAAGAUGGCAACACAAAGCUCGGUACCAUACUGGUAUUGCUGCUGUGGAAGGCAGAGAAUGCUGUGCCUGACAAAGGAUUUGAGAAGCUACUGAAAAUAUUGAAGAAGAAGCUUCUAAAGGAUAACGAAUUGCCCGACAGUACAUACGCAGCAAAGAAGGUCGUAUGCCCUCUAGGAUUGGAGAUGGAGAAGAUACAUGCAUGCCCUAAUGACUGCAUCCUCUACCGCGGUGCGUACAAGGAUCUGAACGCAUGCCCGGUAUGCGGUGCAUUACGGUAUAAGAUCAGACGAGAUGACCCUGGUGAUGUUGACGGCGAGCCCCCCAGGAAGAGGGUUCCUGCGAAGGUGAUGUGGUAUGCUCCUAUAAUACCAUGGUUGAAACGUCUGUUCAGAAACGGAGAGCAUGCCAAGUUGAUGCGAUGGCAUAGUGAGGACCGUAAGAAAGACGGGAAGUUGAGAGCACCAGCUGACGGGUCGCAGUGGAGAAAAAUCGAGAGAAAGUACUGGGAUGAGUUUGCAAGUGACCCAAGGAACGUAUGGUUUGCUUUAAGCGCGGAUGGCAUUAAUCCUUUCGGGGAGCAAAGCAGCAAUCACAACACCUGGCCCGUGAAUCUAUGUAUGUAUAACCUUCCUCCUUGGAUGUGCAUGAAGCGGAAGUUCAUUAUGAUGCCAGUUCUCAUCCAAGGCCCUAAGCAACCCGGCAAUGACAUUGAUGUGUACCUAAGGCCAUUAGUUGAAGAACUUUUACAGUUGUGGAAUGGAAACGGUGUACGUACAUGGGAUGAGCACAAACAGGAGGAAUUUGACCUAAAUGCGUUGCUGUUCGUGACCAUCAACAAUUGGCCUGCUCUCAGUAACCUUUCAGGACAGACAAACAAGGGAUACCACGCAUGCACGCACUGUUUACUUGACACCGAUAAUAUAUACCUAGGAAGCUACAGGAAGAAUGUGUAUUUGGGCCAUCGUCGAUUUCUUUCAACCAACCAUCAAUGUCGAAAGAAAGGCAAGCAUUUCAAAGGCGAGGUAGAUCACCCGAAGAAGCCCGCCAUGCGUACCGGUGAUCACGUACUUGCUAUGGUCAAUGAUUUACACGUAAUCUUUGAAAAGGGUCCCAGUGCACUAGCUGUUCCGAAUGACACUGAGGGACACACACCCAUGUGGAAGAAGAAAUCUAUAUUUUGGGACCUACCCUACUGGAAAGACCUAGAGGUUCGCUCUUCAAUCAACGUGAUGCACGUGACGAAGAACCUUUGCGUGAACCUGCUAGGCUUCUUGGGCGUGUAUGGAAAGACAAAAGAUACACCUGAGGCACAGGAGGACCUGCAACGUUUGCACGAAAAAGACGGCAUGCCUCCGAAGCAGUAUGAAGGUCCUGCUAGCUACGCUCUUACGAAAGAAGAGAAAGAAAUCUUCUUUGAAUGCCUGCUCAGUAUGAAGGUCCCGACUGGCUUCUCGUCGAAUAUAAAGGGAAUAAUAAAUAUGCCAGAGAAAAAGUUCCAGAACCUAAAGUCUCAUGACUGCCACGUGAUUAUGACGCAACUGCUUUCGGUUGCAUUGAGGGGCUUCUACCAAAAAACGUCUGAUUAGCCAUUGUGAAGCUAUGUGCAUUCCUCAAUGCAAUCUCUCAGAAGGUGAUUGAUCCAGAAAUCGUACCAAGGCUAAGGAGUGAUGUGGCGCAAUGUCUUGUCAGUUUCGAGCUGGUGUUCCCACCAUCCUUCUUCAAUAUCAUGACGCACGUCCUAGUUCAUCUAGUCAACGAGAUUGUCUUUCUGGGGCCCGUAUUUCUACACAAUAUGUUCCCCUUUGAGAGGUUCAUGGGAGUCCUAAAGAAAUAUGUCCGUAACCGCGCUAGGCCAGAAGGAAGCAUCUCCAUGGGCCAUCAAACAGAGGACGUCGUCGGGUUUUGUGUUGACUUCAUUCCUGGCCUUAAGAAGAUAGGUCUCCCUAAAUCGCGGUAUGAGGGGAGACUGACUGGAAAAGGCAUGCUUGGAAGGGACUCAAUAAUAUGCAGGGACGGAUAUUCUUGGUCUCAAGCACACUACACAGUUCUACAAAACUCUACCUUGGUGACCCCGUAUGUCGAUGAACACAAGAACAAUCUGCGCUCCAAACACCCGGAGCAGUGCGACGAGUGGAUUACAUGUGAACACAUCAGGACUUUCAGCAGUUGGUUGGAAACACGUCUCAGAGGUGACAACACUGUUUGUGAUGAGUUGUACUUGUUGUUUAGGGGACCAUCUUUGACUGUAUUGAUAUACAAAGGAUACGAGAUAAAUGGGAAUACAUUUUACACGAUUGACCAAGAUCAAAAGAGCACCAACCAAAACAGCGGUGUCCGCUUUGAUGCAACAACCGAGAGGGGAAAGGACACAUAUUAUGGUUACAUAGUGGACAUAUGGGAACUUGACUACGGACAUGAUUUUAAGGUCCCUUUGUUUAAGAAUGGGUCAAUCUGUCAGGAGGCGGGGUAGAGGUAGACCCACAGUACGGAAUGACAAUAGUGGAUCUGAAAAAUCUUGGGUACACUGACGAACCGUUCGUCCUAGCCAAUGAUGUGGCACAGGUUAUCUAUGUGAAGGACAUGUCUACCAGAUCGAGAAAAAGAAAAGAUAAGGAAGCGAAUACAUCAUACGAUGAGCCAAAGCGCCACAUAGUUCUUUCAGGAAAAAGGGACAUCGUGGGAGUGGAGGGCAAGACAGACAUGUCUGAAGAUUAUGCAAAGUUUCACGGAAUUCCUCCCUUCAAAGUCAAGGCUGACCCAAGCAUCCUGAUAAACGAUGAAGAUUAUCCAUGGUUAUGGCGCAAUAAGCAAAUUACACAAGCGAAGAAAAAGUGAAUACUUUCUCCCGCAACUAUUUUGAUGAUACCAUGCCAACUUUGUAACAGACGAGUAUGAUACCGUUGUCCGUUUUGUACCUGCACAUGCUAUGUGGGUGAAAUUAUGAUACCAUGCCAACUUUCAACUUUUUCAGAGUUCAUUUGAAAUGCUUUAAUGUCUUAUGGUUCUGCCCUCGUAAUACCAUUAAUCCCGGUUCGCUCCUUGUAAACUAUGUUCUCACCAAGAACACUCUCAAGAGGGCAGCCACGUGGGCCAUUGGUCCCGGUUCGUCUGGACCUUUUGGUCCCGAUUCCACGCACGAACCGGGACCAAUGCGCCUCGCCCCUGGCCCAUGACCAUUAGUCCCGGUUUGUGCCACAAACCGGGACUAAAGGGUUAGUCCUCGUUGCGCUCAGAGUUUAGUCCCACCUCGCCAACCGAAGGGCGCUCACACCAGUUUAUAAGCCCGUCCCUCUCUGCCUUGUUGAGCUCCUCUCAAAGUGAAAAUAGAUGCCCCUAUACAGGGAAUUUGACCUAAAUUUAUAGUGAAUUUCUCUGAAAUUCAUAGAAAUUUAUUAUGAAUUUAGGUUGAAUUUUCUCUAUAGGCGCAUCCAUGUUCAUUUUUUAGUAAAGUUAAUCACAAACUUGUGAUUCACACAAAUUUCAAAGAAUUCAAAUUUUAACUAUUCAAAUUUGAAAACUAAUGGCACUAACAGAAAGUUUAUACUUUUUCUAAAACUAAUGGCACUAACAGAAAGUUUAUAAUUUUGCUGACCUAAAAGCAAAAAGAAUUAAAAAAUAAAGCAAAAAACAAAAGAAAAUAAAUAAUGCACAAAACAAAAGUAAAAAAACUGGAAACAAAAUAAAAAUAGCAACAAUAAGUAUUUUGUUGUAGGUAGAAACAAAAUAAAAUAAUUAAAGCAACAAAGAAAACAAAAAAACAAAAAAAGUGUUUUCAAAUUUGAAAACUAAUAGCACUAACANNNNNNNNNNNNNNNNNNNNNNNNNNNNNNNNNNNNNNNNNNNNNNNNNNNNNNNNNNNNNNNNNNNNNNNNNNNNNNNNNNNNNNNNNNNNNNNNNNNNNNNNNNNNNNNNNNNNNNNNNNNNNNNNNNNNNNNNNNNNNNNNNNNNNNNNNNNNNNNNNNNNNNNNNNNNNNNNNNNNNNNNNNNNNNNNNNNNNNNNNNNNNNNNNNNNNNNNNNNNNNNNNNNNNNNNNNNNNNNNNNNNNNNNNNNNNNNNNNNNNNNNNNNNNNNNNNNNNNNNNNNNNNNNNNNNNNNNNNNNNNNNNNNNNNNNNNNNNNNNNNNNNNNNNNNNNNNNNNNNNNNNNNNNNNNNNNNNNNNNNNNNNNNNNNNNNNNNNNNNNNNNNNNNNNNNNNNNNAUAAAAUAAAUCAAGCAAGAAAGAAAAAAAACAAAAAAAGUGUUUUCAAAUUUGAAAACUAAUGGCACUAACAGAAAGUUCAUAAUUUUUCUAAAACUAAAAGCAAAAGGAAUUAAAAAAUAAAGCAAAAAACAAAAGAAAAUAAAUAAUGCAGAAAACGAAACAAAAAAUCAGGAAUAAAAAUAAAAAUAGCAACAAUAAGUAAAUCAAACAAAAAACAAAAAAAGUGCCUCCUACUGGGCCCCCACGGCGUGAGUAUGACUAGAAACCCUACCAUGGGCCAGGAUUCAGGCCCGCAGAAGGCCCAACAGGCCCACAGCCAAAGAAUUGUUAGAUUAGGCCCAUAGGCCUGCAGUUCAGAGGAGUUCGAGAGAGAGGAGGAAGCAGUGCUUAUAAGCAGGUGGUCGACGCUCUCAACUAGCGAGGUGGGACUAAACUCCCACCACCACGCCGCUGUGCAAGACCAUUGGUCCCGGUUGGUGGCACGAACCGGGACCAAUGCCACCCUUUGGUCCCGGUUCGUGGCACCAACCGGGACCAAUGUCCCCCCCCUUUAGUCCCGGUUCGUGCCACCAAUCGGGACCAAAGGUCGCCGCUUCCCGCCCUUUGUGCUGCUGAAAAGAGGCCUUUGGUCCCGGUUGCUGGCACCAACCGGGACUAAAGGAGGGCAUUGGUCCCGGUUUGUGGCACGAAGCGGGACCAAAGGCCUGGGUAUAUAAGUAGCACUUAGGAAAAUUUGACGAACUCAUUGCCAGUUGCCCCCGGCCCGCCCGACGACGCCGAGCUAGUCGACGCCGCCAGGCUGCCCAGAUCGACGCCGUCCGCUNNNNNNNNNNNNNNNNNNNNNNNNNNNNNNNNNNNNNNNNNNNNNNNNNNNNNNNNNNNNNNNNNNNNNNNNNNNNNNNNNNNNNNNNNNNNNNNNNNNNNNNNNNNNNNNNNNNNNNNNNNNNNNNNNNNNNNNNNNNNNNNNNNNNNNNNNNNNNNNNNNNNNNNNNNNNNNNNNNNNNNNNNNNNNNNNNNNNNNNNNNNNNNNNNNNNNNNNNNNNNNNNNNNNNNNNNNNNNNNNNNNNNNNNNNNNNNNNNNNNNNNNNNNNNNNNNNNNNNNNNNNNNNNNNNNNNNNNNNNNNNNNNNNNNNNNNNNNNNNNNNNNNNNNNNNNNNNGCGCAGCCCCGACGCCGUCCGCGUGUCCCCGUCGUCGCCCCUGCCCCAUCGCCGCCAGGCUGCCCCGACGCCGCCCGCCGCCCCGCCGACACAGUCGUCGUUGCCCGCGCCCGUCAUCGCCGUCGCCCACGCCCGUCGUUGCCGUCGCUGUGGGGAAGCACCACACCGGCUCCCGCGACCCAUUCAUCCCCGAGGCCGUUCGUCCGCCGCCGCACCGAUUCUGGCCGGCGACCUCGACCCCUCCCCGCACUGUGAGCCCCGGCCUCCUCCCCUUUCCUUCUCAUUGCCAUCCCUGCACGCCAUCCGUAAGCGCGCGCCACUGCCAACCAUCGUUGUCAUCGCCGUAUAAUGCUUUGUAUAUGCUCACUAUAUGUAUGUAUGUAUGUAUGUAUGUAUGUAUGUAUGUAUGUAUGUAUGUAUGUAUGUAUGUAUGUAUGUUCACUGUAUAAUGCUCUGUAUAUGUUGUACAAUGCUCAUUUUUGCUUUUUUUUGUUACCAAGAAAAAGGUCUAUUUUUUGGUGAUAUGUAUGUUCAUAUGCUCAUUAAUAUUUAAGAAAAUGUUCAUAUGCUCAUUUAAGAAAAUGUUCAUAUGUAACAUUUAAGAAAAAAAGUAAAUGUAUGUAUAUUCAUAUGCAAAGAAUUAUUUUUGGAUGAAAUGAGAUGAGAUGAGAUGUGUUUUGUGUUGGAGAAGAAAAGAGGAAGAAGGAAGAAGGAAGAAGAAGGAAAAGAGGGUCGAGGGGGGGGUCGAUAUACCCCCUCCCCGAUUCUAUUUUUUCUUCUUCUCCUCUAUUCCUUUCUUCUUCUCCUCUUUUCUUUUCUUCUUUUUUUUCUUCGAUCUUCUCCUCUAUUCCUUUCUUCUUCUCCUCUUUUUAUUUCUUCUUCGUUUUCUUAUGUUUUAUCGGGUCUGUCGUCAUCGAUAUACCCCUCCCGAUAACUUCAACACGAGGGGGGGAGUCGAUAUACCCCCUCCCUGAUAAUAUUAUUUUCCCAUGUACGUAUGUCGUCGUUGUUGAUAUAACCCCCUCCCGAUAACUUCAACAUGUGGGAGGGGGGUUGAUAUACCCCCUCCCCCGAUAACAUUAUUUUCCCAUGUAUGUAUGUCGUCAUUGUCGAUAUUACCCCCUCUCGACUGUGAUAGCUUAUACCAAAACUCUCGAGGACACCCAAACCCUAGAAAAAACGAUGUCGGUCUCCUACCCCCUCCCGCCGCGCCCCUACCCGACAAAAUCUCUCGAGGCCACCCCCUCUCGCUCGACCAAAACUCUCGAGGGCACCCAAACCCUAGGGAAAAAAUGAUGUCGGUAUCCUACACCUCCCGUCGCGCCCCUACCCUUGAAGCGUUGCCGAGGCCACCCCAAACCCGAAAUAAGCUCGGUCUACGUUUGCCACUAAUAUAUCCACGUGCUGUCAUGUUUGUGUAAUAAUUGUCAUGUUGUAAUAUUUGCACAAACAAUGGAGCACAUACGAGACGAGGAAGCAGAAGAGGUGUUGGGGGACAUAAUCUUAGCCGGAGGUGAUAUCUUGUCGUAUCUUAACGACAAUGAUGGUCUGGAAGAACAGGGUGAAGAAGCAGGCUACGGUGAUCGAAGAAUGGAGGAGGAAAGACAUGAUUAUGAUGGCUCCGGUGACCCAAUGACGGUGCAAGAAGGAGACCGUGAUGACGGCUCCAGUGACCGAACCGAGUCUGGCCAGGUAUAUAUAUUAGUUAAGCCUAUGCUGACUAGCUAAUUGAUGCAUUCAUUGUUUUGGUAUAUGUACACAUAUUAAUUAACUCUCGUCUUUCUUCUUUUUUCUAGCCCUCCGGAUCGAGCACAACUUCGGUAAGGAGACGAGGCCCGAAGAAAAAGUUGAGCUCAGAUGAAAGGUUUGAGAUCAAUGCAAUCACGCGCAACGGCGCACUGAUUGAACCCAUCCGGACAAAGAACGCAUUUGCUGCUCAGUGCGGGGUUCUUGUUAGGGACAAGAUCCCGAUCAGCAUCCACCAAUGGUAUAAGCCUAAGAACGAAGACCCUGAGGUGUCUUAUGUCAAUGAUGUGCAGAAAGAUGAUCUUUGGACUGAGCUGAAGGCAAAUUUCACUCUACCGCGAGAGGAGGAUCCAGAGAAGCCAGUUAAACAGCAAUUAAUCAAGUCUUUUGCUUAAGAAGAUGGCAGGCCUAUUCAGGAGGUGGAGGAAAGAGCUGAAAAAGUUUGUCGACAAAGAAGAGACACCAGAAUUCAUCGGCAAAUAUGAGAAGAUCAGAGAUCACUGGCCCGCAUUUGUGGCCCACGCGACAUCGGAAAAGAGUAAGAAGAUGUCGGCGACAAACAAGCAAAAUGCUACGAAGAAGCAGUUUCACCAUCGCACGGGGUCAGGUGGCUGCCUCUAAGCCCGGCCUAAGUGGGCCAAGGAUGAGAAUGAUCUGCUUGAUAAAGGGAUCGAACCAGAGACAAUUAACUGGCCAGACCAUUGCCAGACUUGGUUCUUCGGGGCUGGCGGAACCUUGGACCCUGUAUCAGGGAAGUGCCGUUGGACGGACGAGCAACAGAAAAUACCAGUCAAGAGGCUUCGGCACUAUAUCAAUGCAGCGCAGCAAGGGACGUUCAAUCCAGAGAGGGAGAAUGACGAGCUAAUAAUGGCCCUCGGGAAUCCUGAGUGUCGGGGAAGCUGAUCCACCAACACCUAUGGGGACGGAGCCCCUUUCGGUUCGGAGGGGGGCAGAGGUCGCACAAAGAGCGGAUCGAGGCGGUGCACGCGAGCAGUUUUACCCAGCUUUGCGUAAAACCCUACUGCUGCUUGUUUGUGUAUAUUGAAUCCUUGCUCAGGAGCGAUGGACGCUAUCCAACUGAGCGUGGGAGUGUUUCUGGUGUUUCGAAUGAGCCGCACCGGCCGAACCUCUUCUACGUUGCGCUUGGGCCUCCUUUUAUGCUUUAAAGGGGUCACCGACAGGUGGCAACGUAGACUAGAGGGGUAAAAAUGGAAAAGGAUGCGGUAGGUGCAGCUACCGCUACUGUGGAUACAGUGCACCCUACGUAACUCAUGACGGCAGGGGACAAGGACAUUGAAUGCCCGUCUGAGUUGCCUAAACAGUGCAAAAAGUGACCGUUAGGAGCGCCACCGUUCGCCAUGAUGGCAUCCUCUUCAUCUCCGCUUGCCACCGCGUACCCCUAGCUGCACAGCCUCCUGCCACGUGUGCUUGGGAGAGUCCUAGAGCGACACGUUAGCAGGUGUGCUGGAGCGCGGGCACGAAGUGGGGGUUUCCCGCGGCAAGCUCCUUGCCGCGGUCGUCGUCUUGUCAUGUUUGGGAGCUUGUUGCUCACCGGGCCUUGCCGGGACGCAGGGCGCGUCGCGGCAAGCUUUCUUGAAGUGCCAUGGUUGGCCUUCCCGGCAAGCUCCUCUUGCCGGGGCCUUGUCUCUUCCCGGCAAGAUCCUCUUGCCGGAGCCUGGGUUGGCCUUCCCGGCAAGCUCCUCUUGCCGGGGCUUUGGUUGGACUUCCCAGCAAGCUCCUCUUGCCGGGGCCUUGGUUUGAGUACUUUGUUCUUGAAUGGUCUUCAAGGGAACCACGGAGGGUCUUGGCGGUCACCCGGCAAGCCUUGCCGCGGGAUGCUGCGACCGCCCAUGCACAAGUUCGGGGUACUAGGGUACCCCUACUCUAGUACACCGACACUGAGCACCCUGGACGGACACGAGGCUCGCUAGGCUCCAUUCCGUGGAACGUUGGUUUUCCGGACGCAGGGGGUUACAAAACCCAGGAGAGGAGGAAGAAAGUGGAGCAUAGGCAACUGCAGGCGCUGCACGAAAGGGUAAUGGGGCUAGAGGAACGAGAAGCAGAUCGCAGCAAACGACCUGCCGAAGCUUCCCCCGAAGCUACCCCGCCAUCUCAGCAGAGAAGCAGUGUGUGAUACGUCUCCAACAUAUCUAUAAUUUUUGAUUGCUCCAUGCUACUUUAUCUAUUGUUUUGGACUAUAUUGGUCUUCAUUUUCAACUUUUAUAUUACUUUUGGGACUAACCUAUUAACUGGAGGCCCAGCCCAGAAUUGCUGUUUUUUGCCUUUUUCAGUAUUUCGAAGAAACAGAAUAUCAAAUGGAGUCCAAACGGAAUGAAACCUUCGGGAUCGUGAUUUUCCAACCGAACGUGAUCCAGGAGACUUGGACCCUACUCCAAGAAGUGUCCGAGGAGGUCACGAGGGUGGAGGGCGCGCCCCCUGGGUGCGCCCCCCUACCUCAUGGGCCCCACAGAGCCCCACCGACGUACUCCUUCCUCCUAUAUAUACCUACGUAUCCCCGAACGAUCAGAACAGGAGCCAAAAACCUAAUUCCACCGUCGCAACCUUCUGUAUCCACGAGAUCCCAUCUUGGGGCCUGUUCCGGAGCUCAGCCGGAGGGGGCAUCCACCAUGGAGGGCUUCUACAUGAUCACCAUAGCCCCUCCAAUGAAGUGUGAGUAGUUUACUUCAGACCUUCGGGUCCAUAGCUAGUAGCUAGAUGGCUUCUUCUCUCUUUUUGGAUCUCAAUACAAUGUUCCCCCUCUCUCGUGGAGAUCUAUUCGAUGUAAUCUUCUUAUUGCGGUGUGUUUGUUGAGACCGAUGAAUUGUGGGUUUAUGAUCCAGUAUUAUCUAUGGAAAAUAUUUGAUUCUUCUCUGAAUUCUUUUAUGUAUGAUUGACUUAUCUUUGCAAGUCUCUUCAAAUUAUCUUUUUGGUUUGGCCAACUAGAUUGGUAGUUCUUGCAAUGGGAGAAGUGCUUAGCUUUGGGUUCAAUCUUGUGGUGUCCUUACUCAGUGACAGAAAGAGUUGCAAGGCACGUAUUGUAUUGUUGCCAUCGAGGAUAACAAGAUGGGAUUUUUAUCAUAUUGCAUGAAUUUAUCCCUCUACAUCAUGUCAUCUUGCUUACGGCGUUACUCUGAUUUUAACUUAAUACUCUAGAUGCAUGCUGGAUAGCGGUCGAUGUGUGGAGUAAUAGUAGUAGAUGCAGAAUCGUUUCGAUCUACUUGUUUUGGACGUGAUGCCUAUAUACAUGAUCAUUGCCUAGAUAUACUCAUAACUAUGCUCAGUUCUGUUAAUUGCUCAACAGUAAUUUGUUCACCCAUUGUAGAAUACUUAUGCUCUUGAGAGAAGCCACUAGUGAAACCUAUGGCCCCCGGGUCUAUUCUCAUCGUAUUAAUCUCUAUCACUUUAUUUACUUGCUUUGUUUUUACUUUGCCUUUACUUUUUACUUUGCAUCUAUCUAUCAAAAAUACCAAAACUAUUAUCUCUAUCAGAUCUCACACUAGUAAGUGACCGUGAAGGGAUUGACAACCCCUAAGCGUUGGUUGCGAGUUGCUAUCGUUUUGUGUAGGUACGAGGGACUUGUGCGUGGUCUCCUACUGGAUUGAUACCUUGGUUCUUGAAAACUGAGGGAAAUACUUACGCUAGUUUACUGCAUCAUCCUCUCCUCUUCAGGGAAAUCCAACGCAGUGCUCAAGAGGUAGCAAGAAGAAUUUCUGGUGCCGUUGCCGGGGAAGCUCACGCAAGCAAGUCAACCAUACCAAGUACCCAUCACAAUCCCUAUCUCUUGCAUUACAUUAUUUGCCAUUUGCCUCUCGUUUUCCUCUCCCCCACUUCACCCUUGCCGUUUUAUUUGCCCUCUCUUUCCCAAUCUCCUCCUCUCUUUCCCGAUUUCCUUUCUGUUUGCUCAUGUGUUAGUUUGCUUUUCAUCAUGACUAGUUUCAUUUCAUCUCUGUUAUCUCCCGAGAAUGAGGUCUUAAAUUUUAAACAAAGGGAGGGAGAAAAUCUAAAAGAUGCUUGGUAUAGAAUUUGCAAUGCUCAAAAUAAAUCUACCAGGAAGCAAUCUACCUCACUUCAUCUUUGCAAUUUUUACGUAGGUGCUAAUCCUUCGUAUAGAUAUAUCCUUGAUACCAUUACCGGAGGGAAUUUUUUGGGUAGCCAUACUUUUGAUUCUUAUAAUGCUUUAAUAGAUAUAUUUGGCUCACUGCCCCUUUUGAUUAAUGGAACUACGUUAACUUUGGAGCAUGUUAUGCAAAGGCUUGAAGCUAUUGAAAAUAAAGUUGCUACCAUUGAAUCAAUUGAAAAUCUUGACAAAAAGAUCCACAAUCAAAUUACCCAAUAUGGAUCUAAGGUAGGAAUGACUUUGAAAAGUAUUAAAGAAAAAGAACCCCUAGUUAAUGAGAAAAUAAAUCUAGACUCCACAAGAAUCGAUAAACUUGAGGGUAUCGUUACCAACUUGGGAACCGCUUUUUCUUCCGUUCAAAACACUCCAAGUUCUUCUACUAAAAAUACUAAGCUUAUUUAUGUUCCUAAGAAUAAGGGUGAAUCAUCUAGUAAGGAAACUGCGGACCUUAAAUCUAUAAGUGUUCAUCCCAAUCUUUUUAGCAUCAUUAAGGAACCAUUUGCUAUAGAUGAAUUCUUUGAUCUUUUGCCCGAAAAUUUGUCAAUUACUAGGAAGAAAGAAAAUUCUAAAGGAGUUAAAUGCCUCAUUUAAGAUUUGCCUACCAAAUAUGGCAAUACCUAGAUCUAUCCUUGCGUUUAUGCCUAGCUAAGGGCGUUAAACGAUAGCGCUUGUUGGGAGGCAACCCAAUUUUAUUUUGUGUUUUUUGUUUUUGCUUCUGUUUAGGAAUAAAUAAUCCAUCUACCUUCUGUUUGUAUGUGGUUUUAUGUUUUAAUUAGUGUUUGUGCCAAGUAGGACCUAUAGGAUAACCUACGAUGAGAGUUGAUUUGAUUCUGCUGAAAAACAGAAACUUUGUGCGCACGAAUUUAGUUAUGAUAAAUCACAGGAACGUCCUUUUGCGUUGAUUCUUUUUGAUUCUGAUCAAUAAACAAAUUGUCCAGGACUUCCUAUUUUGGUAGAAUUUUUAGAGUUCCAUAAGUUUUCGUUAGUUACAGAUUGCUACAGCCUGUUCUGUUUUUGACAGAUUCUGUUUUUCGUGUGUUGUUUGAUCAUUUUGAUGAGUCUAUGGCUAGUAAAUUAGUUUAUAAACCAUAGAGAAGUUGGAAUACAGUAGGUUUAACACCAAUAUAAAUAAUGA
This 53875-nucleotide long non-coding RNA is filed under the name Triticum aestivum (bread wheat). RNAcentral describes it as "long non-coding RNA (TAES_LNC003870)". Lineage: Eukaryota; Viridiplantae; Streptophyta; Magnoliopsida; Poales; Poaceae. The record is from RNAcentral.